UUUUUUUUUUUUUUUUUGGUGAGUGGAAGGCCUUGGAGGCUUUUUACUUGCACCCCCAGCUCCCGUGAUUUUGACAUUUGAAUGCUCGAUCGAUCGGGUUGUUUCUCGGUUACAAUCUCAUCUUCCGUGCACAUCACACAAGAAAUAUUGUUCUUUUUUAUUUUUUAAAGAUUUAAAAACUUUUGAAUACUAGAUCGAGGGUUUAAUUUCAGUACACCUCUUUCUCCUGUCAUUUUGACUUUUGAAUACUAGGCUUGGGGUUCAACCCACCGCCUAAUGCAUCACACAAAAAACAUAGCGUUUCUUAUUUUUUGAAAAUCCAAAGGGGUUUUGAAUACUAAAUCGGGGGUUCAAUCCCAUCCAUCCAGUGCAUCACAAAAAAAAAAAAUAGUGCUUCUUAUUUUUAAAAAAAAUUCAAAGAGUGGAAUAGUGCAUUUAUUUAAUUUAUUUAAUCUGAUGAUUUACUUCCCAACUUUCAUUGAAACCCCUUAGGGUGCGUUUGGUAUCCCAUAGAAUUGGGGUUUAGAAUUGGAAUUGGAACCCCAAUUCUAAUUCUUGUGUUUGGACGCUGCAUUUUCCAUAGAAUUAGCAUUGAAUUCUAAUUCCAAGAGAUUCCAAUUCCACAAUCUCAAUUCUUUGUCGGACCAAAAGAAUUCUAAUUUCAAUUCCACAGCUGAAUUCCUAAUCGGGUCGACACGCGGGUCUUGUACGAGUAAAAACUCAAAAAUGGGUCAACUAUAAAACGGAUGGAAAAAACGCAAACCUCUCUCCUUCCCUUUCAACAUAAGUAGAAUAAGAGCCGAAGAGUGUUGAUGACCUGGAUGGUUUUCGUCGUCCUCUCACGUGCGCUGUGCGUGGUUCGUGACGACGUCGUUUUGUGUUGUUUGCUAAUGUGUUCCUCGCGCAUGACUCUUCGAACUCUAACCCUAGGUCAGACCAAAACGCCGCCUCUCUUCCCUUCCCUUUCUUCUCCCCGUCUCUCUCCUCAACCUUUCUCUCUGAUCAUUCUUCUUCCUCUCUCUCUCUCACUCGAUCUUGACCUCUUUAUUUUCUCCUCUGACUUUCUCCACCACACCGUCUCCCUCUCCUCUAAGAGCUCCUGCUACCCCCAACAUCACGAGUCCCCCUUCUCCCACCUCCCUGUGAUUUCCUUUCCACCUCCCUGCGCUUCAAGUUCAUCGUCGUUGGAUCCUCUUCCAGCCUUUGGGAGGACUUUCGAUCCCACCACAAGAUCCUCGCAGUCAUCAGCAUUUUUUACUACUCUUCCUCCCUCAAUCACCAUUCUCUCGCCCUUCAAUUUUAUUUUUAAAUUUUUUGCUCCUCAUUUUUUUUGCAGCCUGAAUAUCAAUAUUGGGCAGUAUUUCGGUGUUUUUGGCUUUUCGAUUAUUUUCCUGUUUCCCAGUCUACAUGCGAAGAUGCCUUUGCUUUUUUGUGAUGUUUUGCUUUGGUUUUCCAAAACAUCUUGAAAUUCUAUGGCUUAAGAGAUGGUCAUUUAGUGGUUUUUUUUUUGUAUCUUGGCUGAUUGUAUUCUUUUUAUUUUUCAGGGGAUUUUUCUUCAACAGCUUCAACAACAGGGUGCAACACCAUCUGGGACGAACAACCCUAUGAAGAGAAUUUUGAGAAAGAGGUGGGUCAAGAUGAUUGCCCGUGAUUUCAUUCAUUUGUUAUUUUUUAGAGGUUUUUUUUGGUCAUGGUGAAUUGGAUGUAAGUUUUUUGAUGGUUUUGAUGAAUUGGAGUCCUAUGUGUUUAAUUGCUUUUAGAUCCGUGACUUUUCUUUUCUUUUGGUUGUAAUAGUCGAAUUCGGAUCUUUGUUGUGCUUUUGCUCUAUUGUAUAUUUGUGUAUGGAUUCGUGUGCACUGUCAGUUUUUCGUCUAUUGCCGUGUAUGCUAUUUAGGAGAUAGGUGGACUAGCAUGGAAAACUACUAUGUUGGAAUGCGAAAUUGAUUUUUGACAUCAUUAUGUUUGCUGAUUUGAAGUGAUUUUGAGCUAUUCUUGUAAGGGAAGAUGUAAAGAAGUUUUUUUUUUUCUUUUUCUUUUCCCCAUGAUGAAUUUGUAGGUGUGGGCACUGUAAGAAGCUUGCUCCAGAGUACGAGAAGGUUGGUGCAAGUUUCACGAAAGUUAAAUCUGUUUUGAUUGGAAAGGUUAGCCUUUCAGCUCUUUUAUGAUCCAUUGACCCUUUCAGAUAUGGUAGGAAAAGUCUCAUUUUUACUCUAGGUUCGUAGUGUUGCUAUAUCAAUUAGGACAUUUGCCAUGGGUUAUUAAGUAGUUUAGCUAAAGUUGGUACAAUCUAAAGCUUGAAACUUCUGGGAAUGUUACUAUUGCAUUGCUGUAGAGAACUCAUAUAUGAUACAAAAUUCAUGGUUUUUGCCAUGCUAUCGUGGUGGGCUUGUUUUAAUGAAUUUUGGAGUUGUACAUUAUUAAGGGUUUUGUCAUUGUUUGAAUCAUCUAUCUUUGUGCUUUUUCUGAUCACCUUAGGAGUUGCCAUCCUUGGAAGUUACAUUAAUAUAGAGCAAGAUGCUACGGCAAAACUCUCUCAGACAAACUAUACGGUUAUUUCGUGUUGAAAAAGUGCUUACAUUUUUCUUUUUAUCCUUGCAAACUGGAUAUGCUCUAUUUGAUUUCCAUCACUGAAAUCUUGAGAAAGUGGAACCUGAGGUCCAUUGCUAUCUGGUUGCUUGUUGGCAUCAACAUCAGUUUAACUGUCUUAGCUAUUGUGAAUCUUCUAUUUUGCAUCUGAUUUAAUGUCAAUACUUAAAAGAUUAAUCAACGAUUUAGCUGUGAAUUAUAGCAAAAUAAGUUUAAUUUUUGAACUUAUUAUCAAAUUAUAUUUGUUGUAGGUGAACUGCAAUGAGCAUAAGAGCGUUGCAGCAAAUAUAGUGUUUGUGGUUACCCUAUAUCCAAUGGUUUCCAAAAGGUUCUUUGGAGCCCAAAAAGUUAGUUUAUGUGAAAUGCUGGAGUUUUCAAAAGGUCUUUGUUUUUCCGUACUUGCUCUGUUGAAAUGAUAUCUAUCCUGGUGUUGACUCUAUGUAAAUAUAACUUACAUGCCUUCAGUUCAUACAAUUGUAUUCCUCAUGAAUCUAUUUUUAUUCUCAGGUAUGAAGGUGCACGACCUGCAGAAGCCCUUACUGAGUUUGUGAAUAGUGAAGGAGGUAAUGUUAUUGUCUAGCUGGCUUGUGUUUUGUGGUCCAUAAGUGUAAUCCAUGCUAACAAGUUUGGUAGAUUUAUGUUAAACUAUAUUUUGGUAGAAGUGUUGAAUAAUCCACAAGGUUGUUAAAAUCCAAUCCAUAUUACUUACGAAGAUUAGAAAUUUACUUCACCUUAAGAUAUCACCAAACUCUUUUGGAUUCAUUGUGCUGAAAUAUCACCUUAAAUACUUGAUACUGGAACUUUGGCGUUAAUUCUUCUUGAUCUUGAGCAUACAUGAACUGUACACUUCCAUCCAUUGUUGAAGACCUGACCUUACUUGGUUUCAUUUCCAAUGAGGUUUCUUCUCUAUCAUUUUUCAUUAUGAAAAAUUUUUAUUUUCCAAAGAUUAGAUUUAAUCUUAAUGAAUUUGUUGCUUUUUCCUAUUUGAAUCAGAUGAGAUGAGCUUUGCAAGACAUUUCUUAUCAUUUUGCCAUUGCAAUAGUUUCUGGAAAAUGCAGAGCCAAGGUACAUUCAUGUAAAAAAAAAAAUGAAUAUUCUGGAAUAUUUUCAAAGUGAGACUCAUUUUGGCUAAUGAAUACUUAUUAGCAGGUUUACAAUGUUGUUAAGUUACCAGAACUUUAUUGUGCCAGCAAUACACUAUAUAAUCUGCCUACCCUACCGCCAAAGGUGUUUCUAUUACAUUUUAGGCAAGAAUAAUGAGUGUUCUGGUAAAUGGUGAGGUUGAGUAUGAUAAAAUUCAGCCCUUGAGAAAAAAUGCCACAUUCACAUUUUUACAUGAAAAAUGCAAGUUUUUCGUUUUGUUAGUUGUGUACAUUGAUGGCCUAUAUCUGGUACCAUGAAAUAAUUGCUUAGAAUAAUGGUUUAUGCAAAUUGAUGGGGUCUGAUGCCAAGUUUAAGAGGGAUAGAGUAGUGUAAUGCAAGUGUUUGUUCCUCAAGUGAGCUGACUUCAAUUAAUGAGCUAUUUUUAUUUACUUGAUGAUAAUGUAAACAGUGAGUUACAUAAUGCUAUAGGGGUUGGUUAAAGGGGAAAGGAAUUAUAUUAUAAUGAGGUGUAUGUUUGGUAACGGUAGAUUUUUGGAUAUGAAAAUGAUAAUAAUGCAUAAUGUUUUUGCCCGAAAAGGUGAUAGUAGUUAUUAUUUUUUUGUUAAGUUUGGUGCAUGAUGACAUGUAGUCCUUAGUUUGCUUUAAUUAUGGUUGAUUCCAUUCAAAUUUGAGAUUGUUUGUAUGUAAUUUGCAGGUUGAUGGCGCUAAAAUUUUCUUGUGGAUUUGAACAAGGUGCUUAAAUGAGCUGACUUUUCUUCAAAUUGGGAAUGGUUUAUGGAUGGUAGUUUUCAUAGUCAUGUCAUAAUGGAAUCCAAUAAUAAUGCUUAGUUCAUAAUUACCAAAAUAUGUAGUUUGUACGAGUGUAGAUUCUAUUUUUUCACAAUCUAUUUUUGGUUCAUAUAUUGUUUCCACUUACUUUUUUUAAGCUGUACAUGAAUACACAUUUUUUCCAUAUAUCAUUGUCGGCUAUUGAGCGAAUUGUUGAAUGUUAUCGGGAAGUUGGGUUCCAUGAAAUUGCCAAAUUGUGCCAUGCAGAAAUUGAAUUGAAGUUGAUUUUGGCAUAUUCAUAUUUUGCUUUCAUGUACAUUUCCAAAUUUGUAAUCUGCUACCGCCUACAAUUCUGGAAUUACGUCCGAAGAUGAUAUUUUGGAUUAUGUUAUGACGUUGAUUAUAACAUUCUAUUGAAUUCAAGACCAAGUUUCUGCCUGCCAAGUCACCUGCACAAGCAGGUUGAUUAUAACAUUCUAUUGAAUUCAAGACCAAGUUUCUGCCUGCCAAGUCACCUGCACAAGCAGGCCGUUGGCUCUGAGUUCUGCAAAAAUCUUAAAACCUCUUAUAGAGAGCAUACUCUCUCUCUCUCUCCAAUGACCAACUUAAGAUUUGAAUAUUCCUUUCGAUGAAUGCUUUAUCCUUGUAAGUUCUAUGUGUUGAACAUAGAUGAUCUAGAUUAUUCCUCCUCCCAAAAUUGCUGUAUUCUUGGUGUAAUAAAAAAAUUUAAUUCUAAUUCAAUUGAAAUGUAUUCUUUUGAAUUUAUAUAUAAUAGAAGUAACAAAGAGACACCCAUCAUCUCUCACACACAGAUAUGCAAGGCAAAAAUCACACUGUAGUAUUCUAACCAAAAAAAUAUUAAACCGAUUUUCACUGUUAUUGGAUUCCGCACUUCAGUUUUAGCAUUAGUUCAGCUUAUGAAACUGUUUCCUUGCAAAUGCCGUUUCUCCCUCUCAUUAACAGCUUCUUUAGCAAUCCUCCACUUCCCCUUUUUUCAACGGUACUUUUUUUCUCUUAUAACGUACGACUUAUGACGUACGAUAUAUGCAAAUCAUCAUGUUCUAUGCUUCUACAUGUCAUGAAAAAUGCUGAACUUUAUUCUCAUGCUAAACGAGCAAUAGAGUAAAGAUAAGACAAGAAUUCACUUUCAAGCUAAAAAAAUAUUAGCUUUAAAUCUCAGCAGUACCUUUAUCUAAAUCUAAAUAAAUAUUCAUACUAUUUUCGUGAAGCGAUUGUACCUUUUAUUUAUUCAUGUAUAUUUAUGUUUAACUGCGUACAUAAAAUUAUUAACCGAUAAAUAUUUUUGUUCUAUGACUCCAUAUAUUUAAGAGGGCAUGUUUUAUAUUUAUCCCAACGCGCAACGCGCGUUUUAUGCCUCCUAGUCAAUUAUCGAUCGCCAUAUCAGAAGCUCUGAUGGAGCAUUCUUCGUCGCCGCCGCCUCCUCCUCCAAUUACGUUGAUAGAGGCACUUUUGCUGCCGCCUCCACCCUUCCAUGCCCCACUCCCUGCCUUUUGCACAACUCAAGUUGAAAUUAUGGGGUUCCAAUUAGUUUCUAUCAGUUUUUUCCUUCCCCUCUUUGUGUUGACUUGUGCCUCCACCUCCGCUGGCCUGGUGUUGCCCACAUUUGUCGUCACCGUGCAUUCUCUCAUGCUUCCUCUCCUGGAUCGCUAAUUACUCUCUCCCUACUAUUCCAGAUUUUCCAGAUAGAUUUAGAGCUUACGAAGGUAACAUCAAAAUUUAAUUUUUGCCAAUUAAACAUUUUUUUAGGGGUUUUUUUUUUAUAAUUUGUGGUAUUGAUUCUAUACGGUUAUUAUUAUUAUAUUAAGCUUAUAAUUUACACUGUUAUGUGAACAAAAGAACAAGUUGGUCUUUGGUUUCGAGUGUCUUGUUUGUUUGAGUCUUAGUUAAUUAGUCAAAGUUUGGCUUGGAACCUUUUCGGAAUAAUGCCUGAAUGUUUAGGAUUUGAGGGUACUUAUGUACAAGUUAGCUGCUAAAAUUUGUCAGUUUACCUUGCAAUUAAAUAAAUGUAGAAAGUAGAAGGUGAUGCUGAUGUUGUGGAAAAAAUCUAUUAUAGUGAAUUAUAUCUCAUCCAAUAUAUUUGUGUGUUUACGUCUUUCAAUUUGAUUAUUGUUGCUCUAAACAUUUCUUUCUUUCUCUUACAUGUGGAGUUGCAGAAGAAAUUUAUAUUGAUGUUUGUACUUCUAAGAAUCAAGAUUGCUUCUUUGAACUGUAAAAUGAUCUGCUUACCGCAUUUCUUUGGGUACUUGGGCAUUUUUUUAUUGAUUAUGAGGCUUUUGGAAAAACCACCUUUGGUUGGAAGUAAACUAAUAAUACUACUAGUACUAUCAUUUUAUUCAUCUCUUGAUUUUCUAUCUCUUGCUUUUAGCUUGAUUCCCAAUACUAACUAGUAGUACUCCUUAAUUGCCUCUGCUUCUGGCGUUUAAACAUCUCCUAUCCCAGUAAUUCCUCAGCCUAUCAUGUUUAAUUACAGGUUAGUGCCAUCUUCUCGCUAUUGAUGGGACCAUUAGCUUACACCAAUAUAUAACUAAGUCCGGACUCCACAGAUGGACAAGAAUUUAAAAGAAUAGUUUCACUAGCCAUGCUUGUCAAGAUAGAUUUCUGGAGAAUGCUAACAUAGAUCUAAAUGACUAACUUGUAAUACAUUUAUGAUGCAGUUUAGAGUUAUGCCAUGAUCCUCACACAUGCACAGACAGGGAGAGGGGAAGUUGGCAGCCCUGUAAUUCCAAUGGUGUGAAUAUUGAAUGCUGACCAUAUUUGCCAAGACAGAAACUGUUGUCUUGGAGACGAGCUUGGCCGUAGGUUUGUACACCACAUUGCGUUUCCCGUCUGCUUUUAAGUCCUUAGCAGAGGGAGAAGAAACAGCAGCCCCGCAUAGAUUAGCCUGGAAUCAGAAGACAUGUAACAGUAAGAUAUCUACGUCUUGGGGGGAAAAUGCAGGAGAAAUUUCUAAUUUUGUGAUGAAUUUUAAAAAAAUUCUACAAAAGGGGUGAUUUUGAUUGGGUAUUCCGUAGGGGGGGUCUUCGCAUUUUGCGAAUGCGAGCUCUGCUUAUUGAGCUCGCAUUCCACAAAUGCGAGCUCAAUAGAGCUCACCCUGAUAUUUUUUUUUUUUUUUGGGCUCUCAUUAAAUUUUUUCCAGAAAAUAGUAAGAGCUAAAUAAAAUUUUUCAAAUAGCUCGCAUUUGAUAAAUUUGACCUCCAAAAAUUGUAUUUAUCAAAUAAAUUUUUGGGCCCUCAAUAAAUUUUUUUUAUCAAAUUCUAAUUUUCCUUUGUUAUUAAUGAAUCGUAUUUAUUUGUUGACACCGACGAAUUUUAGUUAUAAGAAUCUAAUAGUUAAUAGUCAUUAAUAUCUGUUACAAUUUCAACUGUAAUUUUAGAAAUUUCAUAACGCAAUGUUAUUUAAAAAAAUUAUAUAAGUUAUUUUUAUGAAGUGCAUGUUAUUUAUUUUCUUUGUUUUGCUGUUCGACAAUUCCGAAAUCUUUGUUUUGAUGUUCGGCAGCUAUGUUUCGAUAUUGCGUUCUGCUUCUCCCACUCACUUUUGUCUUUUUUUUUUCGAAAUGGGUCUUGGCGGUAUGUAGUGCGAGGAUGCGAGCUCAAUGAGCUCGCAUUUCCAGAAUGCGAAGACCCUCUUUUGUGGAAACAAACCCAAGAACCGCCCUCGUUGUAGAAUUCUUUUUUUUUUUCCAUCAUAAACUGAGAAUUCACCCAAAAUGCAGUGAAUGGGAGGAGAAUUACACUCGAUUGCUCGAAAUGUGAUUGAAAGGACAUUUGGUUUGUCCAAGAAGCGAUGGGCCAUUUUGAGAGAUGCAUCUUUUUUUGAUAUCAAUACUCAUGUCAUGAUAAUUAAUGAAUGCGCCAUCUUCAUAAUCUUAUUCGAGUAGAAGAACCAAAUGAUCCUUACUUGGAUGAGGUUGAUGCUGAGAUGUGAAGAGUACAACAUGAGAUUGAUGAUGAAGAAGAAGAUGAAAUGGAAAAUGAAGAUGAGGAAGAUGGAAUGGAAGAUAAUGGUCCAAAUAAUGAUGGUGGCAUAAGAAUGUCCAUUCUGCUUGUAAACAUGUGAUUGUUGACUUUUACAUUUUUGCUGGACUGAUCGUGACCUAUACUUUCUUUAGGUGGAUUGUGAGGUAAUUUGCUUUUAUCAUUUGAAUCUUGCUUUCAGGUCUCUGAGUUUGCAACUUAAAGGUGCAAAACAUGUUGUAUAUGGCUUGAUGUUUGUUUGGUGUCGAUAGACAACUAGACCCUUAAAUAUAUCAACAAGUUGUGAGAAUAUAAGAUCUUCAGCAUUCUUUGCAAAAGGUCGAAAACGCUCUCUUGCAGGGACUGGAGCAACUUCACUUGUGCAACCAUGAACCAUGUGAUUAAUAUCAGAUUAUUUCACUGGAUUUACAUAUGGGUUUAUGCAUGCAUAAUAUCUGUUUAUGCAUGUGGAUUUGUGUACGUUUGGCAACACACCUUUCUGCUGAUAAUUUUCUCUUUAAAAAUCAACGAAUUGCACAAGAUGAGAUAUUUAUGGUUUGUUGGUAACAAGUGAUGCAGGUUUUUGUUCAAAACUGUUCUUGAAGUUUUGGGUCAAACGUGUCUGCAUGAAAAGGCAUGUUAAUGUGGUCUUGUUAAGAGAUACUUUAGACUUCAUACUUUCUUGUUUUCAUUUUGUGAAUAGUUACUUUCUUGUUCAUCCUUAUGCAGAAGCUUUACUUACAUACACAAUGAACUUUAUCUUGUUGUCUUACAUACCCCAAUUAGUUUUUUAUCUAAUAUAAUUUAAUUAAGAAUAAAGGAAACAAGAGUAAUACUAUAUUUUUUUUCUAGAAAAGGAACUAAUUGGUUUUUUUCUUUAAAGCUUUAAUAACAAUUGGUUAAAUGCAAGAAAAAUAAAUUAUUAAAGGCACUAAUUGAUUUUUUCCUUGAAACUUUAGUAACAAUUAGCUAAAUGUUUAAAAAAUUAUUCCAUAUGAAAAAGAAAAAAAUAAAAUUUUUAUGUAAGCAAAUGUUAGAUGGAAACAAUUCUAAUUCUUAAUGAAUUCUUCUCGCAUCCAAAUUAACAAAGAAUUUGGAAUUCCAAAUGAAUUCUGUAUCAAUUCUAUGCAUUUCCCAAACAAAAGAAUUCCAACGUUUUGGAAUUCCAAUUCCUAGAAUUCUAAUUCUACAAAAUUGGAAUUGAAAUUCUAUAGAAUUAGAUGUGAGCUCACUGAAAAUGCGAGCUCACUGAGCUCGCAUUCUGAAAAUACGAGCUCACUGAGCUCGCAUUCCCGGAAUGCGCUCACAUUGAGCUCGCAUCCUCGCACUACAUACCGCCAAGACCCAUUUCGAAAAAAAAAAAAGACAAAAGUGAGUGGGAGAAGCAGAACGCAAUAUCGAAACAUAGCUGCCGAACAUCAAAACAAAGAUUUCGGAAUUGUCGAACAGCAAAACAAAGAAAAUAAAUAACAUGCACUUCAUAAAAAUAACUUAUAUAAUUUUUUUAAAUAACAUUGCGUUGUGAAAUUUCUAAAAUUACAGUUGAAAUUGUAACAGAUAUUAAUGACUAUUAACUAUUAGAUUCUUAUAACUAAAAUUCGUCGGUGUCAACAAAUAAAUACGAUUCAUUAAUAACAAAGGAAAAUUAGAAUUUGAUAAAAAAAUUUAUUGAGGGCCCAAAAAUUUAUUUGAUAAAUACAAUUUUUGGAGGUCAAAUUUAUCAAAUGCGAGCUAUUUGAAAAAUUUUAUUUAGCUCUUACUAUUUUCUGGAAAAAAUUUAAUGAGAGCCCAAAAAAAAAAAAAAAUAUCAGGGUGAGCUCUAUUGAGCUCGCAUUUGUGGAAUGCGAGCUCAAUAAGCAGAGCUCGCAUUCGCAAAAUGCGAAGACCCCCCCUACGGAAUACCCAAUCAAAAUCACCCCUUUUGUAGAAUUUUUUUAAAAUUCAUCACAAAAUUAGAAAUUUCUCCUGCAUUUUCCCCCCAAGACGUAGAUAUCUUACUGUUACAUGUCUUCUGAUUCCAGGCUAAUCUAUGCGGGGCUGCUGUUUCUUCUCCCUCUGCUAAGGACUUAAAAGCAGACGGGAAACGCAAUGUGGUGUACAAACCUACGGCCAAGCUCGUCUCCAAGACAACAGUUUCUGUCUUGGCAAAUAUGGUCAGCAUUCAAUAUUCACACCAUUGGAAUUACAGGGCUGCCAACUUCCCCUCUCCCUGUCUGUGCAUGUGUGAGGAUCAUGGCAUAACUCUAAACUGCAUCAUAAAUGUAUUACAAGUUAGUCAUUUAGAUCUAUGUUAGCAUUCUCCAGAAAUCUAUCUUGACAAGCAUGGCUAGUGAAACUAUUCUUUUAAAUUCUUGUCCAUCUGUGGAGUCCGGACUUAGUUAUAUAUUGGUGUAAGCUAAUGGUCCCAUCAAUAGCGAGAAGAUGGCACUAACCUGUAAUUAAACAUGAUAGGCUGAGGAAUUACUGGGAUAGGAGAUGUUUAAACGCCAGAAGCAGAGGCAAUUAAGGAGUACUACUAGUUAGUAUUGGGAAUCAAGCUAAAAGCAAGAGAUAGAAAAUCAAGAGAUGAAUAAAAUGAUAGUACUAGUAGUAUUAUUAGUUUACUUCCAACCAAAGGUGGUUUUUCCAAAAGCCUCAUAAUCAAUAAAAAAAUGCCCAAGUACCCAAAGAAAUGCGGUAAGCAGAUCAUUUUACAGUUCAAAGAAGCAAUCUUGAUUCUUAGAAGUACAAACAUCAAUAUAAAUUUCUUCUGCAACUCCACAUGUAAGAGAAAGAAAGAAAUGUUUAGAGCAACAAUAAUCAAAUUGAAAGACGUAAACACACAAAUAUAUUGGAUGAGAUAUAAUUCACUAUAAUAGAUUUUUUCCACAACAUCAGCAUCACCUUCUACUUUCUACAUUUAUUUAAUUGCAAGGUAAACUGACAAAUUUUAGCAGCUAACUUGUACAUAAGUACCCUCAAAUCCUAAACAUUCAGGCAUUAUUCCGAAAAGGUUCCAAGCCAAACUUUGACUAAUUAACUAAGACUCAAACAAACAAGACACUCGAAACCAAAGACCAACUUGUUCUUUUGUUCACAUAACAGUGUAAAUUAUAAGCUUAAUAUAAUAAUAAUAACCGUAUAGAAUCAAUACCACAAAUUAUAAAAAAAAAACCCCUAAAAAAAUGUUUAAUUGGCAAAAAUUAAAUUUUGAUGUUACCUUCGUAAGCUCUAAAUCUAUCUGGAAAAUCUGGAAUAGUAGGGAGAGAGUAAUUAGCGAUCCAGGAGAGGAAGCAUGAGAGAAUGCACGGUGACGACAAAUGUAGGCAACACCAGGCCAGCGGAGGUGGAGGCACAAGUCAACACAAAGAGGGGAAGGAAAAAACUGAUAGAAACUAAUUGGAACCCCAUAAUUUCAACUUGAGUUGUGCAAAAGGCAGGGAGUGGGGCAUGGAAGGGUGGAGGCGGCAGCAAAAGUGCCUCUAUCAACGUAAUUGGAGGAGGAGGCGGCGGCGACGAAGAAUGCUCCAUCAGAGCUUCUGAUAUGGCGAUCGAUAAUUGAAAGGGAAGGAGAGAGGUUUGCGUUUUUUCCAUCCGUUUUAUAGUUGACCCAUUUUUGAGUUUUUACUCGUACAAGACCCGCGUGUCGACCCGAUUAGGAAUUCAGCUAUGGAAUUGGAAUUAUAAUUCUUUUGGUCCGGCAAAGAAUUGAGAUUGUGGAAUUGGAACCUCUUGGAAUUAGAAUUCAAUGCUAAUUCUAUGGAAAAUGCAGCGUCCAAAUACAAGAAUUAGAAUUGGGGUUCCAAUUCCAAUUCUAAACCCCAAUUCUAUGGGAUACCAAACGCACCCUUAGAGUCUUUCGUAGAAUCUAUAUCUAUAUAAAUUUGAGAAGGAAUUUUUAGCAACAAACCUUCACAAACCUUCUCACUCUCAACUCUAUUUUUCUAGCAUUUUACAUUUAAUUUAUUUCGUAAAAAAAUAUCAUGGGCACGUUACACCCCUCACGUUUCCCUCAAACAAGAAGUUAACUCCAACUAACACUCCCACGUUUCCCUCAAACAAGAAGUUAACUCCCACCAAUACUCCUUACACACCUUACUCCAACUAACACUCCUCACCCACUUUCCCACUACAAUAAACAUUUUCACAGAUCAUCUCCAUGAAGGCAAGGUAUACUGGUUUCAAAAUAUAUAUGUAAUUCCGGCAAAUCUUAAAUAUCGGCUUGCAUCACAUCAGUACCAAUUAUCAUUUGGAAACGAUAUGAAGAUAGUGAAUAUUUUAGAUGAUUGUGGAACCAUACCCCGUUUCAAGUUUAAUCUGGUCAAACUAUGAGAUACAGAACAACACAUGGACAAUGAUUUACAAUUGAUAGGUAUUUCAUUCUUCAUUAACCAUACUUCUAUUUAAGUUGCAUAUUUGAACUGGUAUUACUUAUACUUUUUGAUCUUUUGCAAAUGUAAUUGGUUUAGUUGUAUCUGUUGGUUCACACUAUCAAACAUCUAUCAAUAACAAAACUAAGUGUGACAUACUUUUACUUGACAAAAGGUUAGUUAAUAGAUUCAAUAUCUUUAAAAUAUUUUAUAUUCUGCAAAUUUUGAUUGAUACUUACCAAAAUUCUCUAAAUGAAGUUUGACAGUAGUUCGGUUGACUUUAUGUGAUAAAUUUGCAACUAAUGAUGGUGAACACUUGCAUCAAACUGUUAUAAAAAAUAAUAUUUUGCUAGCCUGUGGUAUUUGUGUGAGAAAUUAUAAAGGUAAUUCAAUUUAUUUUCACUUUAUUUUAUUUUAUUUUAUAGUUUAUCAAUAAUAUAGCACAUUGUGCAGGACCGUCACUUUAUACUAUUCGAGCAAGCAAAUUGUAUGUCAAUUACUACUUAGAUUUUGCUCAAUACCUAUACAGUUGGUAAAUUUUACAAAUACCAAAAUAUUAAAUUAUUAAUAAUAUUUCAUACCCUUACGAAUAUGUAUUUGAAAAAUUUGCAGGUUUGAGAAUGAUAAAUGUGCUCAGAAAUUAGUGACGUGGUUGCGGUCAUGCAAAUUUACAAUGUCCCAAGCAUCGUUGAUAUCAAAUGCUAAGAGAAUAUGGAUAUUCGAAUAUACAGUUCUACUUACGAUACAAUUCCUCUCAAUUAAUUAAGUGAUGAACAAGUAUCUAUAUGUAGUUUCGAAUUAAUAAUUGUAAUCUAUACAUUCUUUGGAUGGUUUUAGGUUAAAUAUUUUCGGAUACUUGCUUACAUUCAAAGUAUCAAUAUGGAUAAUAUGUUCCAUGAGUUAUGCAAAAAUUGUGGACAAUCAUGUCAAUCUCAUUUUGCAAAAAUGGUGUGUAUCCAUUGUUAUAAUGUAGUCGACAUUAUUGUCAGGUAAUUAUUUUCAUAUAUUUUAAAUUUUAAUAUAAUUUUUUGCAUGAUACAUCAUAAUUUCUUCUUAACAGAUACAAUGUUAACAUAGAAGUUAGAAAUUCCAGUGGUAACCUAUACCUCACUCUUCAAGACAAGCAUGCACGAUUCAUAUUUCGUUGUGAUGCUUCUUAUCUUAGAGAUUUAAAAACAAAGGUAUACAUUAUUUAUAUGUAUAUAUUUUUAUAUAAUAUUAUUUACAAACUGUCUAAAACAAAAUAUAAUUUUGAAUUAUGUAUGCUUUUAAUUGUCAGGAAAAUAGAGGUGCAUUGUUUGACCAACACAUUAAUUCAUGCAAAAAUCGUGAAUUCUCAUUUAUAGUACGAACUCCACAAAAAUCAACAAAAUUAAUUAAAUCCCCAAUACUGGCGUUCGUACUCAGAGGUGAUUGGUGUGAAAAAUGUUUACACCUUCGUAGAAGAUUAUCAAAUCAGAGGCAAAAUAUUUGUAAGUAUUUCAUUUACUUAUCAAAUUAAAUAUUCAAUUAUAUUUAAUUGGACCCUUAUGUCACUCAAUCUAUGAUAUAGACUUCUAUUUUUUUUUUCAGGAUCCAACAUUUAUCAAAGUGAUAGUUUAUAAAUAAUGGAGAUGUUUUUAUCAUAUAUUGAACUAUUGUUACAAAGUUUCAUUUUUUAAAUAUACUUUCAUAUGCCCGUGAUUAUUAUAUUUUACUUUUUUUUUAAAAUUUCUCUAUAGAUUGUAAUUUUUUUUCAAAAAUAUAAUCUACUGUGCAUAGCACGGGUAUUUAUACUAGUAAGAGUAAAUUAGAUGGUUAUUGUUAUAGGCAAAAAAAAAAAAAAAGAGCUAAUCAACUUGCUACUCAAUCACUUUAUCAUUAGGGAGUAUUGAUUCUUCGUUUUGACUUUUGACAUUUUGAGUACUCAAUUCUUGAAUUUUGACAUUUGUCUCUUGAAUUUCGACAUUACUCAAGCAUUACCAAAAGUAAAAGUUUAGACACUUGCAUUACCUUCAAGCUCUCUUAUUUCAACUUUCUGCCCAUACAACAUGAAAUCUCCCAAAGGAAAAAAUAAGAAAAAAGAGAGAAAAAAAAACCAACCUUAUUAAAAUGCAAUAGCUCAAGAACCUACAUUAAAUUCUUAUCUCACUCUAAUUACACAUUGUUCGCUUCUUUUUUUUUUUCCUGUCAUUAAAAUUAUUGGAUAUUUAGUUUAUUUUUUGCUACUAGUUUAUUAUUUGCUCACGUGCAAAUGUCAAACAAAUGCUUCGCCCAAUAGGGCUUAAUUGAAAAAAAAAACACUAAAAUAAAGAAAGAAGUGAAAGAAAGAGAUUUAAAAUGUAAAGAAAUGUGGAUGCUCAAAUGUUUUCUUCUUGUGCCAAAUUCAAUAAUUGGCCGAUGCUUGCAGAAAACAUCUGAAAGGGAUGAGCAUCCUCCAUCGAUUUCACCUGCAUAAAACAAAACAAUGGAUAAACACAAGGUAAAACGCAUUCCUAAAUCCUAGAGAAUUCUGUACUGAUUAAAUUAUCUGCAUGAACCUGCAGUCUACGGUCUGGUUUCUGCCUAGCAAAAGGUGGAGAACCCUAAAUCUCCAUUCUCUACUUUCAUGGAAGGGCCACCAACAGUCACUGCCACAGGUCAGAUAUUUACACCAAGCAUGCAAUUUAGGACACAUUUUCAACAUAAAGCAGAAGCUCGAUAUUUCCCUACAAUAUUCCACAAGCAGAACCCCAAGAAAACCAGCAACAAAUGUGACAGGUAAUGAAUCACAAACAGCCUUUCAAGUAGGCAGUAAAAUUUUGAAUAAUGUAUCAAAGAUUAUCCCCAGAAUUCAAUGCAGAAAAGAAAAAUGAAAGGUCUGUAGUUGAUCACUGCCAGUUUUCUGCACUUGUUCUAAAACAUUAAACAAAGAAGAAACAAUCAUGUGUAAACUUCAGUCCACUGCAUACGUCAAGAAGCACCGUUGGUUUUGUCUAGCUGUGUGACACGCGAAUAAACAUUUCCCCAUUCAGUCCUUUCAGAUUUGGGUACAGUUGCAUUGCUGAAAGUAGGUAGCCAAUCAUCAGGGCAAUCAUUUGCCUGAACCCACGUGAGAGACCGUGGUGGGUUUCGGAAGUCAAAGUUCAUAUCAGAAAAGUCUCUAAUGUUUGAUUUGGAUUUCUUUUUCUGGUGAUCUGAAGGGUUACCAGAAGCCUGCUUGGAUGUCUUUUUCCUUUGAUCGGAAGGGCCAUCAGAAGGCUGCAAAACAAAUCAAACAGUUUCAUUUUCUUCAUAAAAGCACACACAUGUAUGCCAAAUUAUGAUGAGAUAAUUUAGUGUUUUGAGGGCUGUGGUAUACUAUCAAUAUGACUGAAGGAAGAUUGUCACCAAACCAAACAUUUAUGCCUGACCGUAGCAUUAGCAUCAGAUUUCAACUUUUUCUUGCGCCUGCUUCCUGUCUCCAGGAAUUCGAGGACCUCGACCUUUGAUCGGAAUUUUAGCCCUGAUGGCGAAAAGAAAUACUGCACAAUAAAAACCACAAAUUGGUAUUAUUAAAGCGCCAUAGAUCAACUUCCAGGCACUUUGCUGAAUAGGCAUAAUACAAUUUGCAUAUUUGUACAGAAUCAUCAGAGCGCCAGGAAAGGCAGUAAAACAAACUAAUGACAAAGUCAACAACAAAAUUGACAUCCCCUACAAUGCAAACUCCUGAGAUGUUAUUGCAGAAAAACUAUGAAUAUGUAAAAACUCCACUUAACUUAGUGCAGAAAAACUAUGAGUGCUCAAUCAAACUGCUAAAAAUAAGAAUACCCAUACUUCACUCAAUAUAGCAGACACACAAACAACUUUAUUUGCAGAUGCGGUUGACCAAGAUUGACUACAACAAUCAACAGCCUAUAACUAGCUGAAUCUAGCUAACAUUUUAAAAUAGCCUGGAUGCACAGAGAUAUAUGCCAAUGUUCAGAGAAACAAAUGAGAAGAGUAUGCAAUUGGCCACCCAGCAGGCAUUCGUGUGAAACCAUUACUAUCUUCUAGGAACACCACAUGGGGAUCUAUCGUUGCAUGAAAAAUAUCUUCUCACAAAUAAAAGAUUAAGAGCAUAUUCAAAGAUUUUGAGCAAAUAUUCCCACAAAUUUUAACUACUAAAUCGCAUGUUAAAAAAAACCAAUAGCAGAUCUAAUGCCAUAAACCUCUUCCGUUGCAUGACUGUUAAUGCAAUUUAUAUGUCCAAAGUAUUUUAAUACACACCGUUUAGCCACCCAAGUCACUUGGCCUUCAAAAGUUGCAUGCUGCCACAAUGAAAUGCUCAUGUCAACCGUGAAUUAUUGACCAAAAUGAAUGUGCAAAUAAUUUAACAGGUAAAGCCGAUAGCCAAACAGGAGAAACUCUCAACACCAAUGAUGGGAAACUAGAAAAACACGAUAGCCACUACUAAGACAAGAAAGAAUAAAGGAAAGGAAGGAAACCGUAAAGCUCACAUCAACAACCCUAUCAGAAUUAUCUUAGGAAAAAACAGUGGAAGUAUUCCAUAUAGAAGACAACCUCCAAAACCAUAACCCUGCCUUUCUAAUCAAUUUUGGAGGGAAAAUCACAAGCAUAUCCUUUCAAAACUUUUAUAAAUUUUGAUCAAGGUCAUUUAUUUUCUAGAUGCAGAGCCAGUCUUCACAUCGCUAAACAGUUAAAAACAGAAAGAGUCUUGAGCAGAACUUACAUAUAAGUCCUCCUAAACAGUUACCAAUGAGGUGGAACUGAUCUCCUACUUUCACUUGACGACACCCACCAGAAUUAGAAAUGAACAACCUAAAGAUAACAUGUAUCUACAUAUAGAAGUCAACUAACAGAAGAAAUUACUUUGUCAGUGUUGCCAGCAGUUUUACCGGCAGUACGGACUUUCCAUGUGAACCCCCAGUCCAGCGGCAGCCAGUCUGGUCUCACCACCAAUGCAGUGCAACCCUUCCUAGCUUGAGGACCCAUCUUUGUUAGCUGUUGCAACAUCAGAGUUGCAGGUGCAGUUUCCAACAUAGAACCAAUCUUCAUUUGCCCCUCAGCAUGGUACAAAGUUUCAUUAUACAUGCCAUUAUCACCAACAGAUUCAUGACCGACAAAUUCAUGAGACCCACCUUGGUUUAGUUUAAGAUUACUUUCUUUAUCAUCAUGAGAUUUUUCCCUAGGUAACUCGAUCUGCUCCUCGGGAGAAGCAUUGAGGUCAAUCAAGGCCUUAUCAUUCAAGGGAGGUGCUACAAAAUGGUAGCUGUGUGAAAAGCGGUCAGCCAUGUUGGAGAGUUGUGAAGCUCUAAAUCUAUCAGAAACUUAGAGAUGGGUUCCAGAAAGCGAUGAGUUUGAUUGACAGCUACAGGAUCAGAAUGGCAACUCUUGGACCAAGCACAAUGCAGUGAAUUAAAGAUAUGCGAUAAAUGGGCAUUUAUGUUGCAAUAAAAAGAGAAUCUAGGACUGGAUAUCGGUCGGAAUACAAUGACUUCAUGAUUUUUGCUUGUCAUCCAUCACAGCACAUCAAUAACCAUGAAAAACAUACGUAUACAAGCGAGUGUAAAAAGAAAAACAGUCAAUGAGAAAAUUUUCACAAAGAAAUCAGUCAUCUUUCAUCUUCUUACCAUAUUUAUUCAGUUAAUGCUUACCUUAAUGCAACUUCAACUUUUAUGCUUAUUUCAAUCUUAUCAUAUUCAAUGUGUCCUAAAAUCUUGCAAGCCUGAUGAAAAGUAUCCAGUAACCUCAUAAUGGGAGUGAUUUUUCUCUUUAUUGCGAUCAGUAUUCUCAUACUUACCCCAUAUUUUGCAAGGGACUCUAAAAUGUUAAUAACGAGUUGUGGAUAAUCCAUAACUCAUCAAGAAAUUUAAAAAAAAAAUGUAUAUAACAAGAUCUCAAUAAUUUCAACUAUCACAAGUAAGAACAUUCUAGUUGUCUCAGCAAAGAACUCAAGUAUGAGUCUUCUUUCACUUUUUCUUAGGCACAUUUUACAUCUAACCAGAGAUUGCAACAACAACUAAACCUGAAGACAAAUUUUUUGUGCAAUUUAACCUCCUAGAUAGAAACUUGCAAGGGAAGAAACAAAAAAACAUGAAGGCAAAAGGGGGAGAACAAGAAGCUUUCAACCAAAGGAACUACCUUAAAAAAAGAAGUUCAAAUAAACCAAAUACUCAGGAGAUUUCUUCAGCUUCUGGAAAUAGAUAAAUCUAUGGCUUAAUGAUAUCCACAAGUAUUCUAGAACAGCUUUACCAAAGUCACAUUAAGUUUAGUGUGGCAGCUUUUUAACCCCUCGAAGUCAAAAAGUUUAAAGGACUUAUGGCUUCAAUAAUAAAUUUCCUCCACAAAUAGAUUUGAGGUAUUUUACUUCAAAUGACAAGGUUACAAGUAUUCCACUGAGCUAGAUAUAUUUAUUUAUGGUUUGUCUUACAUUCUUAUCAAAUAGAUUUCAAAGAUUUCUUGACAGGAUUGUAGAACAAAUGACAUUUCAGUUGAUAUUCAGCUAUUUAAAAAGAUAUAAUCACUUGUAAAGCAUUUUGGUUGGCCUUAACUACUUCUUACAUACAUAUACCCAAAUACAGGAAGAAAGGGAGUAUCAAAGAGAGAUUGCAUCCUAGGUUCUAUAAGAUACCACAAAGAAAGUCUUUGGAUUAAAGUAACUGUGAUCAUCCUUGUAAGUUAGUAGUAAGUAUGCCAUCAACUCUGCUUUUUAAACAGAGAUAUCUUGCAAAAUCCCAUUAAGUAAUGAUUUUGAGAAUGGUUGAGCACCAUAGUAAUAAAAGGCACCAAAAUUAGCACAAAAAUCAGCAAAUUGCAAAGUGAUAAUGUUGAGAAAAAAAUGUAUGCAUUUUGAACUAGAUGUAUACAACAGAGUUUCAUAGCUUCACUUCAUAUUAUGAGUUUAAAAAUACUAAAAAAAAAAAAAACAAAGGCACAGGUGGAAGGAAAUGGAUAAAUCCUUUGCUACCAGAUUUAACAUUAACAAGAACUUAGUUCACAGGAAAAAUAAGUUUGACUAUCUUUCAAUCUCCUAUGCUGCUAUGCAUCAAACAUAUCAAGAAAUUGCGGUCAACCUUUGCAGCUGCAAAACACAAGUGCAUUCCACUAAAACUCUUCCAAGUUCUAAUAUAAAAAUAAUUGGCUUCAUUCAAUGGCAAAUUAGGUAAAAUUUGCAGUGUUAUAUGCAAUGUCAUUAACAUUUGUGUGAAUUUAAAAUAAUAAACUACAUUGACAGUGACCACAGAUGGUCACAAAGAACAAAAUUUAUCAGCAAUAAUUGGUAAUAGAUAAAGAAGUAUGCACUUAAUGGCUAACUAGCAAAAAACACCAAAAUCACAUCUCUUAACUACUCCAAGAAAAGUCCCCCCCCCCCCCAACCAAAACACACACACCAAAAAAAAAAGGUCAUUGAUGCGAGCCCGCCUAGCACAAAAUUUGCAGUUAUGAAGGCUUACAGAUGAGUCCUAAGAUUCCUGAUUACACCUUAUUUCUCGCAGGUUCUUGUGUCAACUAAAACACCAAAAAUAACACGCUACUACUAAAGUUCAAAGAGAGAGAGAGAGAGAAGUCCAAAAAUUAACUCAACAGUGACCAUUGCAAUUAACUGCAAUGUUAUGGAGGCAAAAAUUUCCAUCCUCAAUAUCCACAAUACAACUAUCGAUACAAAGCUACUACAUUUCACCUAAAACACAAACACAACCAAAAAAAAACAAAUUUAAUAAUAGCUUCUAAACAAAAGUGAAAGAUAUUGUCUGGAGAGAGAGAGAGAGAGAAUUACUCUGUCAGAUGUUCCAGCAGUGGCGCCGGAGGUUCGGACUCUCACUUCUAUCUUCCAAUCGUCCGGCAACCAGUCAGGCCGCUCCGCCAUCUCCUCUACUGGUCUUCUCGGCCGCCGUUGUGACAGUGGAGUUACUUCUAUAGCAACAGAGGCCAUAGGAGUGGCUGAAGGUUUGGUACUGGUUUCCGCCGGGGCAGGCUUUUCCUCUGCUGAUGCUGCGUCGUCGACCUUCUGGUCGGGGUCGAUAAACCAACCGGUUUCUAGCAGCGGGUCGGGAAGUAUUUGAUCGUUCAAGGCUAUGUCCGGGUCGACCAGGUUGGAGCCUUGAACCGGAUUUUGUAGGCCCGAGAAAAUGGGCUCGGACAUUUGGGUCGAAAGAGUUGUAUGCCGGGAGGGAAGACGGGCGUGAGAAUUUAAAUCAAAUUCCGCCUACCGGCUGAUUAAAAAAAAAAAAAAAAAAAAAUUGGCUAAGGUUUGUUUAAUAGAUGAAUGGUUUUUUCUAGCUAAGGUUAAAACAAACUAACUAAGCUUCAUUAAAUAAUGAUUUUUUCAAAAUAUCCGUUUGAAUUGCUAUUUCCUAGAGUUUUCGUAGAUGAAUGUAUUGUAAUAAUUUGAUGUAUAUGAGGAAUAAAGAUAAUUGAAAUAUGUGUUGAUGAAGAAUUGUAAAAAUUUUUUGAAAAAAAAAAGACUUUCCAAACAUAUGAUUUAUGUGUCAUAAAACUUUGAUCUUAUCGCCACUCUUAAAUAGUGAUCACUUCAACCUCUAGUAUAUUUAUACAUUUUUAGACAAGAAAAUAUAAGAUCCUCAUCCGCAAGACUCAAAAUUGUUGAUGAAUAAAUAGUAUAUAUUUAGAACUAAACUCUUUCGCAAAAUAUUGAAAAUUUUAGAGAAUUGUAGAAGGGCAUACCAUGUUUGAAGCUAUGAUGUCGAAAUUUGAGUUGUUCCUGUUCGUACUUUGUAGGCCUCAAGAUUUUGGAGGUGAUUGUCGAAAACAAAUUAUUUGCUGACAAAUUCAAGCAAAUCAGGAAAUCAAAAAUCUCGUUAAAUUUUAGCUUUGCUGCAAAUUUUCGCUCUUUUGAUGACUUUGCUGGCUUCACAACUUCUCUCUUUUCCUUCUCUCUGACGGAGUUUUUCAAAAUACAAUGAAUGGGUUAUUCUGUAACCUUUCCUUUUCCUACUCUAAUUUUUUUUCAAAAUAUGACAGAAGGGCAUUUUCCUAUUUCCCUAUUUAUGAGUUUCUUUUUUUUUUUUUUUGGCCUAGAAUGACAUUGUUCCAAUUAAACUUUUCAUGGCUUCAUUUACAUCAUCCAGUUGGUAGAUUUUAUCUGAACAUUAAACUUUUCGUGGCUUUAUUUACAUCGUCCAGUUGGCAGAUUUAAUCUGAACGGUAAGCUUUUCAUGGCUUCAUUUGCAUCAUCCAGUUGGUAAAUUUAAUCUGAACGGUAAGCUUUUCGUGAAAUUGUCUGAAAGGAGAAGCGAACCAAAUUAUGCGGUUAUAUUGAAUUGGAUUACAAUGGUAGAAUUUUUUAACUUCAUUCACCUGGAUGAUAUUCAAAUCAUGAAUUGACAUAUUAUUGUUUUAUACAAAUGACAAUUACACACCAAAAUCCUAUUGCAUGCUAGGAGGAGUGCCGAAAUUAUUUUUAAAGUGAAGUUCAUGCUAGCAGGAAAGUGAAAACUUCACUUGCCUUAUUUAAUGACGAUUUUAUUUGCAGUAGAUUAGGUAAUUAUCACUCUAUGGAUUGUAAAUUAUUUGAGAUAAUUUUGUAAAAAAAGUACUGUAGCACUUUUUUGAUAUGAUAUAUGUGAGAUAAAAAGGUGAUUGGAAAAUGUGUUGAUUAUACAAGCAAAUCAGUGUGUGUCAAUAAGGUGUAAAUAAAAUGUAAGUUUUUACUAUCCAAACACGGUGUUGAAUUUAUGGCUUGGGCCUUGGUGCUAUAGUCCCAAAACCAAAAAAAAAAAAACCGUAUAACACUGAAAUUAUUACAUUUGGUCACUCACAUUUUAAAGCCAUUGUAUCUUGAUCUCAAACUUUAAACAAAAAAAAAAAAAAAAAAGUUAAUAUUGAGCUCAAUACUCUAAAAUACUUAAAAUCUCAAUUUUAUUGAGGUUUCCACAGUAUAAAAUCUAUUACUGUGAUCAUAAUGGUCGCAUAAAGUACUCAGCCUAAGUAUAUAAUAUUUUGAAAUAUCAUUGAACUUUUCUUGUGUUUAAACGCUAUAUGUUUAAAUACACGCUAUCCAACGCAAACAUGUAUCUCUGUUCCUUUUUCUGUGUCAAAACACAAAAACAUAUCCCUUUUUGCAAAUUCUAAUGAAUAUUCAAUUGAUAGUUUACCAACUAUAUAUUGGAUCUUGCUCCUAGUAAUAUUAGGGCUUUUAUAUUGUGCCACAAAGGCAUAAAUUAAAGAGUGGAUUACUUUGUUGGAAAUGAUUUUUGUGCUAAAGUGUAUGUUACUCGGAGGUGGGCAAUAAUCUCUACUUUAUAAUGGACUCACUUCUUCUUCUUCUUUUUCUGUAAUUAACCCUUUGUCUAGGAAACAAAAACCAUACUAGUAUCAUUCACACAAAAAAGAAGAAAAAUAAAAAAAAAAAAGAAGAAAGGCCAAUUAAUCUUCUUAAGGUAUUAGUUUUCAUUUUCAGUUUAAACUUUAAAGUAUUUCCUGAUUUUUCAUGAAGACUAUAAACUAGUAUUCUUUAUAAUAAUAAAAAAAAAAAAAGAAAUUGCAUACAGACUAUAGUUUCAAAAAAAAAAAAAAAAAACUAGUGUUCUUAUCGAUUUUGUUUGGCUUAGUAAAUAAGUUUUCCUUACUCCGUCAACCCCAUCAAGUCGAACUCCAGAGACCUCUUCAUUCACAUUCGUACAUCAGAAUCAGGUAAAAUUAUAACUCAAUAAACCCAUAGUUAUUAUUUUUUUUAAAAUGUAUACAAGUCAAAAUACAGAGAAACGAUCACCGUAUUUGCAGUUCUUGAUUCAUACAUAAAAAGAUUAUUGUGUUUAACUUGACUGGAUUACAUAAAAAUCCCAACUUGGAUCGGUUUAUUUCUGGGUUUGGCUGAAUUCAGUGAUGUUUUGAUGGGUUUUUGGUUUAGUUGAUAAAAUAUUAUGUAGGGUUUUGUAAUUUGUUGAUUAUUGUUCGAUUAUGGCCACGGUUGUGUUGAGUUAUGUGCAAAAUUUAUGGCCUUUUUCUAUCUUGAAAGAUGAUUUGAGGGUUUCAAAUAGUUUAGUGAAGAAAUUGCCAAUACCCGAAAGCACAAAAAGGUUUGUUUAUGCUAUCCAAGAGCCUGAAUCAGGGGCCGUGAUAUAUGUUCUCUGUGUUCAGAAUUUAUCAGAAAGGUCAGCUUUAGAUGCUGAAUGCCUUAUUAAAGUGGUUAAACCUGAUGCCGUGCUCGCCCAGGUUGGUCCCUCGAUCGAGGGGAAUGAGUUUUCUAUGGAGAAAAUUGCAUCUGAAGCUUGUAGUAGCCCAGAUAGUUAUUUUAGUGCUAAGAGUGAUGAUAGGAGGGGUAAUGAGUUUCUGUUGCCAACAUCGGCAUUUGAGGUAUUAAGGAGGUGUUUUUUGCAUAAAAUUAAUAAGGAGAAGUAUGAGAAUGUGGCUGGGAGUUUGGUAUUGAGGGAGAUUUUCGGGGUCAGUUUUAAUGGUCAUUUCUUCUCGGCUAAGAGGGCUGCUGAGGAAGUUGGUGCGGCAUUCUUUUUGCUGGAGUCACCUUUUGUGAAAUGUAGUGGUGAUGGUAAAUGCUCUUCGGAGAUGGACAACGAGGAGGAGGAGGUGGUGGAGGUUGGGUUGGGAACUGGUCUUCGUGGCUUUGGUAUACAACCUAAUAGUUUGGUUCCUCAGAAAGGGAUCUCAAUGGCGUCAAUGAGUUUAAGGCGGUUUUCUGCUAUGAAUGAUGUUCAAUCCUGGAUGGUGAAGUCCUUGUCCAGAGAAUUGAGUAACUUAAGUUCUGUUCUAAAGGUGGGUUCUGAAGAUGUUCAACCCAGGGUUGAUUAUGAGGCCCCACAGUUUUCACAAUCCAUCUAUCCCUUACUCGUUGAUUUACAUGAUAUUUUUGUUGACAUCCCAUAUAUGGGCAGUGCUCUAGCUCAUGCUCAAAAGAUGCUUUCUGCUAUUAAUAAGGGAGAAGCUGUUGAUGGCCAGCUCCUUUCAGAAGUUCAUGUAUUUCGGAUUGCUGUUGAGGGAUUGCGGAUUGCUUUGAAUGAUGCAGCUCGGCUCCCUAUUAACAAAUUGGGGAACCCUCUCCCCUCUAAAUGUGAGUUUUCGGAGCUUCCAGUUCAGGAAAAGUCCCAUGCACUCAUUGCACAAGCUCUUCAAAGCCAGACUACAAAGUUCAAAUCAAUUGUAGCACUAGUUGAUGCUAAUGGCUUAGCAGGCUUGAGAAAACACUGGAAUACUCCUGUUCCAGUGGAAAUUAAGAACAUGGUUCAACAGCUGGUUACUAAUUGUGAGAAUGACAGGAAAAUACUCAGCGACAAGAAGGCGUUGCUCUCAGCAAAACCAAUAUUAGCAGUUGGGGCAGGUGCAACAGCAGUGUUAGGAGCAUCUUCCCUCUCCAAAGUCGUUCCAGCAUCAUCUUUGGUCAAGAUUUUGACCUUCAAUGUUCCUGCUUCGCUCAAACUUAUGGUGACUCAAACCUAUAAGGUUGUUGCUCUUACAUUUGGUAAAAGUGUUGGUCCUUCAAAAGUGAUCGCACCUGGAGUGGCAAGUGGAGUCAAAACGUCUUUUCUGAAGGCAGCUGCUUCUGCUGAGAAAAUUCGUGCUGUAGCUCAUAGCAUUAUAGCUUCUGUUGAGAAAACUAGCCUUUCUGCCACAAGAACUGCAUUCUAUGAAAUAAUGAGGAAACGGCACGUUCAGCCGGUUGGCUUUCUGCCAUGGGCUACCUUUGGAUGUAGUAUUGCUACUUGUGCAGGAUUGCUUAUGUAUGGAGAUGGAAUAGAAUGUGCAGUUGAAUCUGUUCCUGCCGCUCCUUCAAUUGCCAGUUUAGGGCGUGGCGUCCAAAGUCUACACCUGGCAUCUCAGGCAGUCCGGCAAGCUGAAAGCUCCAAAAUACAAAAGUCAAUAGAAUCCCUUCUUGAUAGAUUUAGGAAGAUGAAGGUUCAAUGAUGACAAUUUAACAAUAAUCUAAAGUUGCAAAUUGUUCCGACUUUAAUUUAUCCUAUAAUGGAAUACAUUAAAACGUAUGGUGUAAAUACAGUUCAGGAAGAGGUGUUUAGCAACUUGUUUUUGUAAUUCUUGUUGAUAUGUUGUCUGUAUACGAGAUUCUUAUUUGUGAUUGUGGAUGAAUAAAAGUUGGCACAAAGCUUGCACCCGAGUUCCUUGUCUCUUGAUCUUUCAAGCAGAAACUAGGAUAAGAGUUUCAGAAAUCUGUGUCACCAUUGUCAGCAAGCAUUUAUGCCAGUGUUUUUCAUUUUUGUCUUAUACGUAGCAUUUUGGUAAACACAUCAUAAGCUGUAUUACCAACUAUUUGCUUCAUCUUUCUCUCCUUUCGCUCUUCUUUUCUGCUGUGCAGUUUAACGACAUUCUGUAACGAUUACCCUGCUGCCUCAUGAUGUAUUUAGCUUGUUUCUGCCAGUAACUCCCCGUACUCUUGUCGCACUUCUUGUUUGGUUAUGGUUCUGUUUAAGUAUUUAAAGAGUAUUUUAAUCCUGAUAUAUUUCUUUCUGCAAAGAUGUACCUAUGUUAUUCCUAGGAUCUAUAUCGUAAUGUUGAAACUACAAUGGGUUUUGUAUAAAAAUCAGCAGCUUUGAUCAUGUAACAGAAUUAUGUGGUCACAAAGCAGAUCAACCUCCUGAUUAGAGUCACUGAGAACUCGAAUCAUGUAAGAUUUUAGGUAUAUCUGGAACAUUUUAGUUUUCAGACUUGAUGGUUUCGUCCCUUGUUUUUGGCUUUUCAGCUAAAUUAUCUUUGAGCUGGAUUUUACUUAUCUAGCGGUGAGAUGUCUUUUUUGGAUACAUAAUGCUCCUUCUUGAUCAACCCUGCUAAAUUGUGUUCCUUUAUUGCUACGUGGAAGUAGCUUGUCGGGCAAAAAUAUAACAAGUAGAGAAGAAGAAAAGCUAAGCAAUACCUUAUGGCUUUGUUGUUAGUGGGAGCCGUAAUCAUCCCCUUGGCCCUGUUCUGUCUUCACCUCCUGCUUCAUACAGCAAUGGUCUUGUCUGAUGGUUAGGUAUUCUUUUUGUGCACACUUUCAGAUAUUUUGUCAUUGCUUUGAUGACAAUCCUAGGUAAGGUGGAGGUUCUAAAGACCUGAACUUUAUCUUGACAACAUCUUUUGCAUCUGUGGUUUGGGGUGUUUUGUUAGAAACUGCAAGGAUUUUCUUUGAAUCCUCAUCCGUCUGUAUCGGAGCUCAACUCCAAGACCACUUAUACAGAUGUCAUGGAAUGCUGCUUUAUUUGGCAUUUCAGAACUUAUCCUGUUAAUGGUCUUUCUGAACUGGAUUGUUGCAUGAGGUACUUUUUGACCUCACCUCGUACAAUUCUAGAUGGAGAAUAUACAACAGUUUAUCUUUGUGAAUCCCAGGUAUGCUGAAAUUUCUGGACAAUCAGUAGAGUUAUACCCACUUGUGGAAGAUAGAUGGUACUUCUGAUUGGGGGAUUUCCUGAUGAAAUUAAUCAUCUUGAACCUUAAAAUUUGCAUUAUCUAGCCAUGUUUCUUAUUAGAAGUUUCAUGGAAGUUAUUUGGUUGUUUGAAAAUAGUUAUCGCAUUAACUUAACGCUAUCAAAGUUGAUUAUCAUUUUCAGGUUAUUGUUGGGAAGCUGCUGAACUCAAGAUGGAAAUUGUCUUUCCUUUCUUCUCCUCUUUUCUUUGUAGCUCAAAAGCUCUCUCUUCGUUUCAUUCCUCUACGUAACUCCCAAACUAGGCCUAAUGAAGUUCCGUUUAGAACAGCCCCUCGUCAUUAAUCGCUAUCCGUUGGUGGUUCUAGAAAUAUGAUGAAAUACUACUAGUUUGGCAAUGUAAUUGAUGUGAACUGGUGAUAGACCUUUUUGCUACCAUUUGCUUAGGUAUAAUUGGAAUCCGUACAGAUGCACAAUUGUCUAUAGUUAGAUACAAAAAAUUCACUUUCAAUUUCUAAACUUUGAGUUGGAAGAUACAUUUCGUUUCCAAAUUUUUCAACAGGACGCAUUUAAUACAUAAAUUAACAAUUUCUAGUCACGUUUAGUUCAAAAACAGUAAAUUGCUGUUUAAUCUCCAGAGCAUGAUCUUUUUAUUUGCACUCCGGAGUAUGCUCUUUUUAAUCUUCAAAUUGUAUGCCACGUGGCAGAUUUUGCUUAGUCACUCCAUUUCCUUCUCCAAACCACAAAGCACACCUUAAUACCUUGUCCCAUCACUUCCCAAUCAAUAUAAAAAGUAAAAAAGAGAAUCUAGAAAACUCUAGAGUUUAUUACAGCAACAACAAAUUAAGGCUUCGUCUGGGAGUGGAGGAUUUGGACAGAAAAGAAAGAAAAAGAAGAGAAAGUUAAAAUGGAAGAAUUUAGCAGGAAAGAAAGGAAAAGAAAUGGAAGGAUUUAAAAGGAUGAAUUAUAGUCAAAAUUUUUCCUCCCAAAAACAAAUGAGAAGAAAGUUUAAGGAAGCUUGUUAAAUUUUUUUAAAUACCUAUUUUAUUCUUAAAAAAGUUUUGAACAAAUAUUUAAUAACUUUUAUAUCUAAAAUCAUUCUACUAAUUUUUAAAACUCCCAAAUAACAUAACAGUCUCUUCUCUUCUCUUUUAUCAUAACUUAAGUUUUCCAUUCUUUUCUUUUCUAUCCUAAACUCCCAAACUAAGCCUAAGAUAAUAUUUUGUUUAGUCCAAGGUACCAUAUGCAAAGCACCGGACUAAAAUCAUCAUCUUCAACAUCAGCAGCAGAAUCAGUUUCUCUGGACAAUCAAGACACUGAAAAAACAACUGAAAAAGGCCAAAGAAUAUGGCUUUAAUUCCCACAAAUUCCCAUUCCCAGGUCAAUGAAGGACCCUUGUUUGCAGAAGUGGACAUGGGUGCUGACUCCUCUGCAACCUCUGUUCGUGCCACCGUGGUCCAGGCCUCUACCAUUUUCUAUGAUACCCCUGCCACCCUGGGUUAGUCCAAUUACUGCUUUUUCAAUGGCCCUUUUGCUAAGUAUGUUUUGUUUCUUGAAUAUCUACUGUAUCUGGAGCUUUAAUGGUGACUGAAAUCUUGGGUUUUAGUUUGUUUUCUGAGUGACCCUUUUGAUAAGUAUCUAAAUUUGUUCAUAAUCGACCCCUUCUUCUUUUGGGUUUUAGCGAAUCUCCGGGUAUUGUGAAGUCCUGAAUGAUUGGUGUAGCAGCAUAGGGUGCUUUAGGGCCCUAAAAAAUCUCAUUGUUAGUUGAAGAACUCAAUAAUUUGAACCUACAACAUCCUGCAUGCUGAUAUAUUGGAUCUCAGAUUGAUACUUGUCAGAGAAUUACAUAAUUCAAAUGCAUUUAAUUAAUUGCCUGCAGAUUUUGGUAUGCACGAAAGUAUGUCCCCAUUUUAAAGUUUUAUAAUCUAAAAUCUUUUAAAUUCUUCAGCAUCUGGACUGAAUAAAGUGGAAGCUGCAUCUGCUACUUCUUUGGGUUCAAGUUGAUGAUUGGAGGCCAUAGGAAGUCACAAGUCAACUAGCAUUGCAAUAAUUGACAGAAAAUUUGUAUAUAAACUUGAGAAACCUCUGUCAACUUAGUAUGCAUGGGAACAAUUAAGAACAUUUUUCUACAUUAAUCUCAUGUAUCAGGACCAAGCAUUCUAAACUGCACUGUGCAAAUGACAGGGAUGUAGUUUCCCACACUCACAUACAUACCUGUAUGUUGCAGAAGAAUGAUGAAAAGCAUGGCAAAAGAGCAGCUUACAAAGCAAUCUCUCUUAUCCGCUGACUAAAUGGUCAAUGUGACUGCCUAGUAAAAUUAGGAUCUCAAUAGCUUUCUAGAAGUAGUACAGAUAGACAAAUGCGAAUGGUACUGCUUGGUGUGUGUCUGCACAUGCAUAAGCUUGAGUCUUACCAUGAAUAAAGCUGUUAUUUUGAUGAAUGACACUUCCAUACAAACUGAAAAGUUUAUUUCUGCAUUUAUAAUUAUUGCUGCAGAGGGAACUUUUGUAUUUACUGGUUGUGAUAGGAUAUGCACUCUCAAUCACAAUAGCUCAAAAAUAAAAAGAAGAAGAAAGGCAUUAUCUGGGGCCUUUAUAACAGUCACUGGCUAUGAUUUUCAGCUUCCAGAACUGGUACAUGAAUUAGAGAGUUAGUUAUACAAUUCAAGAAUCUCUUAGAAAAGGAUGCAAGCUUCAUAAGCUUAGAUCUUUUUAAAUGAGCGACAUCAUAUCUUACUUGUAAUUAGUUACAAUUUUUCUGUCUAUCUUCAGAUAAAGCUGAAAGGCUGCUCGCUGAAGCAGCCUCUUAUGGUGCCCAAUUGGUUGUAUUUCCUGAAGCGUUUAUUGGUGGCUAUCCUCGUGGAUCAAAUUUUGGUGUUACAGUUGGUAAUCGUACAGCAAAGGGUAAGGAAGACUUCCGGAAAUAUCAUGCUGCAGCCAUAGAUGUGCCUGGUAAGAGCUUAUGCCUAUUUUUCUUCUGCAAGCAGAUGAUUAGAAUAAAGAAAUAAAACAACAGAAGAUAAAAACAUAAAAAGAUAUAAAAAAGGAGAUGACAGUUUUUUCUUUCUUGCUUCCCUUUGCCUCAAUGCGCGCAUUUGAUUUUUUUAACAAGCAGUGUCGUAAGCAGGACUUUCUUUCUGGUCAAGAGUUAAAAGAGCAUUCUUCAUGCUCCUUCUUGAUGAUGCUGGAUUUACUUUUAGUAGAUGGGAUACAAGUGAAGAGCAAGGGAUACUCUUAUCAAUGCUAGAGGAAAUAAAUGUAUAUUUUGCCCUCAUAUUGUUGUGUGCUGCGGAAUAUAGCUGUCAAGAAGACAUGGAAAGUCUAAUUUUCACCUAUACUGCACUCAUAACUUCAAAGUGCACCAGCACUUAAAUGAGAUAUAUGUUACUUCUGAUAGAUAUCACUGAGGGGCAUUUGAUUGCAGGAUUGUGGCUGCAAGAACUGACCAUUUUAGGAUUAAUAGUGGCAGAAGCAUCUUGCAUUCAAGUUUAACAUGUUUGAGGGAUAUUAAUUGCCACAUGUUGAGCUGUGGGAUACUUGGUUGGAGCCUCUAAUUGGUUAUGUUUUUAACAAGUCAUAGUGCCCACUCUGUUCCAAGGACUAAAGGGUGGUUGAUAAGAAAAUAAUCAUCCUAUUUCGAGUUCAGCUUGAUUUUGUUUGGAUCAUAUUCAUGGGCUGAAGAAGCAUGUUUGCUUCCGUUUUCUGUUUGGCUGUCAUUUUGCUUUGCUAUACUAUUAGAAGAAUUUGUUCUGCUCUUCUUGGUCCACCAUUCUUUGCAUAAUCCUAACAUUGGCUCCAUAUACCAAAAAGUUCCAGUAUCCUCUCAAGCCAUGUUGCUAGUGAUGCUAGAUGGUUUGAUCUAUCUUACUGGAUCCAUUAUUGUGUCAAGUACAUUAUUAAAAACACAAAACUUUGUCUUUUUCUUGCAUGUUGACUCUUCAAUUUCGUUGUUUUAUAUUUUUCAGAGGGAAACCACAGGUAAGGAGAAUUAAUUUGAUGACUGACAUUACCAAAAUAAGCUAUUUUUGGAAGAACCAAUUUCCGCGUACAGAACUUAUGUUGAUAAUAUUGAGAUACUAAAGUAGUGGCCUUAAUUGACAAAAUUGGACAAUUCUAUGGAAAUUGAUUCAGAAGCAUAAAGUUUGUGAUUGUGUUUCUUGUUCUUAUAUACUUUUUGACUGUCAGUUUCUUAGUGAUUGUUCUAUAAGAUAGAAGUUAGGUUAUCUUCAUGUUAAUAGAACUUGUUUUUUGUGAUUCAGGUCCUGAAGUUGAUCGUUUGGCUGCCAUGGCUGGAAAAUAUAAAGUGUAUUUAGUGAUGGGUGUGAUUGAGAGAGAGGGAUACACACUCUACUGUACAGUACUGUUUUUUGACUCUCAAGGUCGUUACCUUGGAAAGCACCGUAAAGUCAUGCCAACAGCUUUGGAAAGAGUAAUCUGGGGAUUUGGAGAUGGAUCUACAAUUCCAGUUUUUGAGACACCAAUUGGAAAAAUAGGUGCUGCAAUAUGUUGGGAAAAUAAAAUGCCACUACUAAGGAUGGCAAUGUAUGCUAAAGGUAAUUUGCCUUUCAAUCUUAGUAUAAACAGAAAAUAGUAGAUUUUAUCCUUUCUGGCACUUUGCAUGUCUGUCCUUACAGUGCAGUCAGGAUUUCUUGUCUAACUUUUUGUGGUUUAGGAUCAUCCUUUCGGCAAUAUAACGUAAAAAACUGAAUGUCAUGUUUCGACAUCUUCCAGGCUGAGCGUGUUAUUCUAUUGUACAUUUAUUUCUUUAAAAUUAUACUUUUCUCUUUCUUUCUUUUUCUUAUUAAAAUGAGAACUUGGUUCAAAUUACAUCCAUCUUCCAAUCUGUUUCAAGUAAUUUUCCAGUUAGCAUAUUGAGAGAGAGGGAGAGAGAGGGAGAGGUGUUAAAUGAGCUUGUGCAGAUGCGGCAGUUGAAGGAUUUCAUUUGUCUAGCUUUUUGUGUACAUGAGCAUGGCAUGUUGUGCUUUUUCAAGUAAUUUUCCAGAUGCAUGCAUUGUACAAAAUCCUCUUUUGGAGUCCACUUGGACUCUUGUCAUUUCUUAUCUAAAAGUUGGUCCUGAUAUUCUCUGGACUUGUAAGGUGGGUUGAAUAAGCCCUAUUAUCAUAUGGGUCAAUUAAAUGUCAUUUCGCUACUACUGUUGUUGGUGUACACCGCAACUUUUACUUCUGGACUUCCAUAGUUGAGAUGAUAGUCAUUGACUGUUAAUUUCUACUGCUCUUUCGCGAAUUUGAAUCUAAUCAUUUCUCUGUUUGCAUUUGAAAUUCUUAGAUUGUUUCUUGUACUAGAUGUUCCAAAUGUUUGUUUAGUGUCAUCUGCUAUCUCUAGUAACAUCAGGUUCACUAUUAAAUCCACGAUAUUGGAAUAAUGGAAUAUUUUACAUCUGAUCACAACCACUGGAAAUUUGUGAUGCUAUGUACAUUUUUUGUGAAAGAUAAUUGACUACAGCUUAAUCUGUCAAAUUUCUACUGUAAUCACUAAUGUUUUCUUUUGUGGGAUUGGUUCAAGUUCUACCCCUGCUUAAUCAACACAUUUCCGUUGGAUUGUUGAUGCGAUUGCUGAUGUUCUUCCAUUGCUUAUAGGCAUUGAAAUAUAUUGUGCACCUACUGCUGAUUCGAGAGAUGUAUGGCAAGCAUCAAUGACUCAUAUUGCUCUUGAGGGUGGAUGUUUUGUUUUAUCUGCCAACCAGUUCUGCCGAAGGAAAGAUUACCCACCUCCGCCUGAAUAUCUCUUUUUAGGCACUGAAGAAGAUCCUGACUCUGUUGUUUGUGCUGGUGGAAGUGUUAUAAUUUCACCAUCAGGGACUGUGCUUGCUGGACCAAACUAUGAAGGGGAAGCACUCAUCUCUGCAGAUCUGGGUAUGUUAUGGUUUGUUGAACUUCUAACCGAAUGCAAAAGCUCUAUUUUAUGUGGGGUAAAAAUGAAUAUGAAUUUCUUACCACCUUGUGUCCUUUUUAGGUUUCAUUUGUUUUCCCUGUAUGUGAACUCAAACAAGUAACCUUCAUACUAUGUGAAGUGACAUUUGCUUUCUUAUAUACUUUUUCAGUGGCUGAAUUUCCCUUUCUCUACAACUUUAGGACCGCUUCCCAUUGUGAAAUAAAUGUUUGUAUCUGACAAAAGGUUUAAUGUUCCCCUUCCUCAAAGCUUGUAUUACUAGUGGUGAAAUGCUACCUGUUAUGCAGAAGUCUUCCGUUCUCUUAGCCAUGUAAAUAACAUUCUCUUCUUGCAGUUAUACUACAAAGCUUUAGUUUGGAUUAGUUUGCAGUUAUUCUCCUCUGAUUCAUACAUCAUAAAGUAGUUUGGAUUAUUUUGGUGAAGCGCUCAGCUCAUUUAACGCACAUUCUCUUCUUGCAGUUAUACUACAAAGCUUUAGUGUGACUACAAAAUCUUGAUGUAGUGGCUUUCUCUUCUAAUCUUCUUGUUUUUUACUUGGAGCAUAUUAAUCUCACCUUUUCUUUGGUUACACAAUUCGUAGAUCUCGGAGCAAUAGCGCGGGCAAAGUUUGAUUUCGAUGUAGUUGGGCAUUAUUCAAGGCCUGAAGUGCUUAGCCUAGUCGUUAGAGACCAUCCUACAAGACCAGUAACUUUCACUUCAGAAUCGGAAAAAGGGGAAGGCACACAGAAGUAGCGAUGGUUUUAUUGCAGAUUAACUACUUGUUUACCUCUUGAUUUGGUGGCAACUUCACUGCUUAUCUGAAGUGGUCCCUGGUAAAUAUAUCCGUCUGCAUCCCCCUGAUGUUUGAUGGUUUGGCUUAUUUUUGUCCAUCUAUCGAAGAGCGACAAUAACAUUAAAUUCUGGUUAACCAAAAAUCAUGUUAGUAUCCCUGUCAACUAAUCACUGUCAGGUUACAGUAAUGCUGCUUGAGUUCGACCUGAUUCUUAGUGGUACAGGGGACUACUAUCCUGUAUACUUUAUUUUUGGCAAAUCAGUGACUCAUAUUAUAGUGGUCCAAAGAUUUUUGCAGUCUCCCUCCUCCCCCAUUUCUCCCCCACACCCCGUCUCUUUCAUAGACAGACAACUUCAACAUGAUAGAUGCUGCCUCUUUUCUACUGAGAGCACAACUAGAUAUAGUCUUGAUUCUCUUGGGGCCAGGAUCAGUAUACUACAGAUCCUAAAUGCCCUGCAGAAAGCUGCAGAAGAAACCUGUCAAGGAAUUAUGAUUCUAUCCAAGGUUUGAAAUGGGGCAAAAACUUGGGUAGACCAUGGUGCCCCAAAUUUUGCCCGGUCUACCCAAGUGUUGGCCUUGAAAUAAAAUAAGACUGUUCUGUGUACGAGCAACUAAAAAUAACUCUAGUAUCAGCUACCUGGGUGAUAGUAAUGGCCUUAUGAACAGUUUAAAAUAACUCUAGUAUCAGCCAAAAAUAUGACUGUUCUGUUGGCCUUGCAGUGAUAGUAAUGGCCCUAUGAACAGUUUGUAAUUGUUCAGAAAGACUACCUUUAGCCCCUAUCCAAAUUAUAUCAUCUCUUGCCCAAAGAAAGAUAAAAAUGAAUUGAAGAAAAAUGGGACACAGAUAAAUUGUGAAACAAGUGAUUUGAAGGUCAACUGAUUAAUGUUCUUUAACUGUUAAACUACUGGGUUUUGGGGACAAAUGUACCUUGAACUAUGUGAGAAUAGGGCAUUGUCAACAUUCCCUGGCCAAAACAUUGAAAGUCUAAAGAUAGAGGUGGCAACCACCUAAAAUAAUAAGAACCACACAUGCCUAUUAUCACAAUGCAAUCGAUGGUUCUGUGUAUGAAUCUUGAAUGUCUCACAAACCCCAAUUUCAAACUAUAGCUGGCAAUUAUAUGAGUGCAUGUGGUCUAAAUAGUCCAAAACAAGUUUUAUAAUUGCGAGGGAAUUAUUGAGACAUGAUCCCUACUUUAUUUCUACUGUGUCAGACAGAACAUAGUCAAGACGCUUUUCCUGAUGUAAUCCAUGCUGGAUUGUACGAAUGGAUUAACAAUUUGAUGCUAUGAUAGAUUCAAUAAUGUGGGGGCAAGAAGACGACUCUUGUGCUUUGUACAUUGUUUUUCCAGGCUCAGAUUCAGCAUAACCAUCCCACAUUGCAUUCCAUUACGUAUACAUCAUGUCUGAUCAAAUUGUAAAUUGUAUUGGGUGCAUUCUCUGAGCUAAGUGACAUAAUUUGACUCUUAACAACCAAUGUUCCAUGUACCCAAAUGCAAUGAGCAACAAAAAAAAGUUUGAUGUAUAUAUAAGCAUUAUCACAUGGAUUAAUCUUUCCCAUACUGACAGUGUAUACACUGUCAUGGAUCUAACGGUGUUAGUGUUUGCACCGUCAGUGUAUACAAGAUUUACUCCAUAUCAUAUUUCAAGCACCGUACAGAGUCUUAGAGGGCAUCUUAUGAUUCUUGAUAAGCAUGGUGCACAUGGGUGGAGCAUAUACAAUCCAAGAAUGGGUUUUCUAGUAAUGAUUAAUUAGAAGAAAUACGUACGGGUUUAGUGUUAAGCAUGUGAUUGGUGGCAACUCCUUAUUAGAAAAAGACUAAAAUCAUGUUUCGAAGUUUGGAGAGUGUAAUGCAUAUUUCUGCUCAUUAGGUGUAUUGUGAAAUGCUGAAACAACGUCAUUUCUUCAACCUCACAAGCUAGUGCAGAUUGAUAACUCAAAACAAAACAUGGGAAUGGAGUGACUAAGGGAAGACAUUCCAAGCUGUAACUUCAGCAUCUUUAUUGCCAUUGACAAAGAAAAAAGUAUUGUACACUUUUUUUAUCUUACACAACCUGCAGAUCACAAAAUUCUUUGUUUACCAUUCAAGUUCCCUCACUUUUUAAACAACUCAUUGAGGCAAAUGCAGCCAUCAUUAGGAACAUUUGCCCAUCUCUAUGAAGUACGUGUAGAAAAUAUGCACUAUGCAAUAAAAGUAAACCACAACAUAACGAAGCCAUUUUCUGAUACUGUUGAAAUCAGAUCUUUAGCUUUGCUUUCAAAGUGCUCGUUGCAAUACUGCAAAUGCUUCCGAUACCACCCUGCUAGGAUCUUGAGAUGGCAACUUUUUUUGGGGGCUAGCAACUUCAUGAGAUGAUGAUAUUCUUGUACCAGAAACGAUAUGGUCUCUAAGGUCCUUGAUCAUGUUGUAUCUCUCAAUUUCAUCUUCACAUUCUUUUUUCCAAGCUUUGGAAGGAAAUUCGAACAAUUUCCCCCCUGCAAGCGUAUCAGAAUUUCUGUGUCGUGUGGGAGAAAAUUCCCACUCAAUCCCAUCAGGAGUUUGCCUUUCUAUGGAAAUGCUUUGCCUUUGUCUCUUUUCAGAGGUGGACUUCCUUCCUGUAGUUUUACCAUUGAUUGCCAUCUUCUUCGAGCCAUCUUGAACAACAUCACUCCAUUUGUGACUCUUGCUAUUAUCAUCCAUGUUCAAUUCAAUCGAGUGAAGAUCACUAUCACCUGAAUCUUCUGCUUCCUCUACCUCCUCCUUGUACGCAACUUCCACAUCAUUCUUCUCUUGAUCUUGAUAUUGACUUGAAACUGGAAGGGUCUCUCUUAAAUAUUUCUGAAGUUCCUUUAUCCUUUCAUAGUUUGGAGAGCUGGCCUCUUGCUCUUCGUCUACCUUGGUUUUUAAGCAGGCCUCAAGCUCAGUCCUCAAUUCAUCAACAGCAGCAUUUUUCUCUUCAAAUUCAUACUUGGCUUCCAAAAGUUUCAUUUGGACCCUUUCCUCUCGCAGCACAUCAGCCAGAUGAAGCAUUUCCCUCUCUUUUUCCACCUCUUCACGAACUUUAGCAGAUUCUUUUUUAAGUCCUUCCACAACAGCUCUAUCUUCUCCAAUUCCUCUAGCUAAUUCAUCGCAUACUUGCUCUAAAAUCUCUCUUGCCCUCUUCUCACUUUCGAGUUCCUUGUUAGCCCUCGCCAAAGCUUUUUUUGUGUCUGCUAAUUCUCUUCCUAGUUUCUUGUUCAGUCUCUCUGUUUGACGCUUCAGCUUCUUCUCUAUCUCAAGCUCCCCUGCAAUUGCUUUAACAGCACUACGUAUCCGUUCUUUCUCUUUCAUUUUCCAAGUGGCUCUCUCUUCCUCAAACUGAUGCAACAGAAAAUCAAUCUCGUGCUGACUUGAUUUUUGCUCAUGAAUCACCUUAUUAACCUGAAUAUAAGCUCGUUCGAGCUCAACUUUUAAGGCUGAAAGCAGGGACAAGCUAGCAGGUGGUUGUUCUUCAAGACGCCAUAUGUGAUUCAAUACUUUCAACAGAUCCUUGGAUGUGGUAAGAGCACCUAGUAAAUCUUUCAACCGGUGCUUAACUUUGUUCCCGCGGGGAGUUCGGCUAUGAACAUGUAACUGAUUCUGAUCCACCUGCAUAACCUGAGAAUCUGAUCACCAAUAUCCCUCGUACUAUAGAUAGAAACAGGUUAGGGGGGGGGGGGGGGGGGAACAUAAAAUUACUGUAGGCUGUGAACAUUCAUUAAUGAUUACUGCUCAAAAUUCUUGAACUCUAAUUUGAUAAUGACAAUCCAUAAUGUUUGCACUUAAUGCGCAUACAUGAAGAUGUUACACCACAUAUGGGCAAGAAACAAGCCACAAGACAUGUUUGUAUCUGGUGGACCCAAAAUAGAAUCAAAUCAUGUUCUCUGCCGCUCUGAUCCAAUAGAAGGGUUUGUCCAUUUCCUAAGAUAUGUUUUAAACAAUCCAAAUAGCCACAAGUACCAUGAAUGCAAUAUAAAGCUGCAAGGCAAAAGCUGCAAUUACACUAGGCAAAUAGCCAGUGAAAAGACACAUCCUCUGGUUAAAAAAGAAAUAGAAAAUGCUAUUAACAGUUUGAACUGUAGCAACUGAAAAUACAUAGCUUAAAUGUACACAUCAUAUUAAUUUUUUGACGAGAAACCCACGUGUUUUCUGGCAAUUAAGUAUGAACUACCUCCAUUAAGCUGGCAUUAUGAAGAGAGGUAAAGCCACCCAAGUUGCAGUCAGAUGGCAGAAGUUUCUGAGAACCAACUGAAGCUCUUCUUCGAUGAGAGCCCGCAUUAGGCUGAUCCAUUUUCUGCAAGUUAGAUAAGGAAAAAUUAUCAGAACCUAAACCGAGAAAUAUAUUCAGACUAAGAUUUCAUGAUUUUCAUGCAUGAAUUAUUUGAUGGUGUGUAUAUAUAUAUGUCAAAAAACUUUCACCCCACCUCAGAUAAAGGACUAAAAGAUGGAUCAGAACAAUAAAAUGGCACUGAACCACCUUUGGAUGACUUCAAAAUUCUAUCUUUCCUAUCACCCCCUUGAUCAAUUUCACUUUUUCUAUCUUCCACAUGGCUUUUCAUUUUAGCAGUAGAAACCACCCCAUUAAUCUCCCACAAGGUAGCAGCCAGUUUUCGAGCCGACACCGACAAUUCUUUCCCUCUAUCACCACCACCACCGCCACCACCCUUUGGUGCCAGCAGAAUAUUCUUGACAUUUUUCAGAGAAGGUGAUCUUGAACUACUACUCAUCUUCCAAGUUGGAACAGGAGUGCUUGAACCUGCUUUCUUUCCAACCAAAAUUGCCCUUUUCAACCGAUAAUUUCGAACUAAUGAAGACGAAGAUGAUGAUGAACUUCCCCUCUUUCUCACCUUGCUCUGCCCUCCAACAAGUCCUCCAUCCACAUUUAAGUUUUUCCUCAGCAUUUAUCUUCUCUAUGUCGUAAAACCUCAAUAUUAAUCUAUAUAUGGCUGGUAGCCUUAACCGUACUCGGACUCAAGAAUCUUCCUCUAGUUAUAUGAAUCCAAAUGAUCACUUUUGUUCAAACUCAGGAAUCAUUAAGUACAGCAAUCAUAAGAUUUCCUAGUACUUUGAACUUGUGCAGAUCUAAAGCAACACACAAGAUAUCACCAUCAUACACUUUUGAACACUUUAGAAUAAGAAAAAAAAGGAAAAGAAAACUACUCUUGAAACAGUUUUGGAAGUGGAAGAACUGUCAGAGAUUGUUCUAACAUGCUUUACAGUCAAAAAGAGCAAAAACCAAAGAAAUUUGAACUUACCCUUUUUGAUUUUUUGCACCUUAAGAACACUAGUUAGAAGAAGAACAAGUCCAGUUUGUCUUUUGGGAAAUGAUGAUGGGGUAGUGUACUAGUGUAUCCAAUUUAGUGCCUAAAGUGGGCUUUGUUUCAAACUUCCAUAGAGGGAAAAGAACACAUGAAAGUGUGUGUUUGAGAGAGUGAGAGACAGGGCCAAAAAACAAAAAAACAAAGAUAGCAGCUGGCAAAAGGAAAUGGAUGGAAAUGAAAGGAAGUUAUGAAGCAAACUGUGAAAGUAAGGAAGAUUGAUGAUCAAGUCUGAGUUGGAAAAGUAAUGUAAAGCAAUGCAAGAAGUUGGAGGGAAUUAAACUUAAAGGGCUAGUGAAUCUGAUCUCUUCUUCACUCUUUUCAUACCAACAGAAAAAGUCCCUAAGUGGGAUAGGUCUUAUUUAGGAGGAUCAGAGAUCGGUAGUUGUGCAGGGAUAAAAAGCAAGAGAGAAGGACGUGGCAUACACGUGAGCAAGAAGCAAUUAAGGACGUGGCUGUAUAAACUGGACGGUUACUACAUUUGACUAGGUUCCAUGCAUUUCUGGCCUGCUCUGCUUCCUAUCGUCCAUAUUUUAAGCCGUUGUGUGUGAAGGAAUGGGGGUGCACAGUGGAGUUGCUGAUUUUUUAGCAAUCAGCCCUUUGAAGUAUCUUGCAUUUUGAAACCAUGGCCUCUACUUUUGAGAUUUCAGGUUUCAAGACCAACCAAAUGGUUUUCUUGCCCUAAUUCUACUUCGAGUGCUAUAGGUUACUUAUUCGUUACUGACCAAAUGGGAAACCGAGCACUUAAAAAAUCUUUAAUUUUUGUUUAUUCUCAAGUCCGUAAUCUAAUUGGAAAUGAGGUUUGCUACAUAUCUCGAACUCUGUCUUCAAUCAAUAGAAAUUUGUUACAUAUCUUGAGUUCUGUUUUCAAUCAAUAGAUGUCUUAUAGUAAAAACAUCGAAAACUAGUAAAUACUUAUUCAAUCGAAUGAGGGUGCAAAAUGAGGGUUUAUCAUAUAGAGUUUUAAUUGAUGUUAGUUACUAAUAAUAUAGGAAUUACUGCACAGUAUGAGUAACCUCUUUCAAGUCUUCCAAAAUAACGAGAUGUACAAGUUAAUUUAAGGUAAACAAAGGGGUAUCAUACGCAAAUAUCCCAAUAGAUUACUAGUAUAAGGUAAGUAAGGAAUGUAAGAAGAAAUCUUGCCAACAUUUUAGCUGCUAACGUUACAUUUGCAGAGGAUCAUAAUAUCCUCCAAUCAAUCAAAAGGGGAGGAAAACUCAGAGAAACAGGAGGGAUUCCUGCAGCCACGAGGUCGGGCCCCAUUCACGGCUAAAAAUUUUCUAUUUUUUUUCUUACAGGGAUUUCACUGCUGUACUGAGGAAUCAUAUUUUUCCAAAUUGUAUAAAAACAACCACGUCCUGAUAAGAUAUAGUUAUAUUGGGACCCCGCCAAGAUGCCCCUACCACAUGAUCAGUUCAUCAUUAUGAAGAAUUUCUCAAGAUGAUCAUAUAAAUAUAAUAAUAUGCAUGCAUAUUACUAGGGAAGGGAUACGUGUGAUAAGCUGUAUUUAGAAUAUACUAGGGAAGUAACGUUGAGAAAUUAUGAUCACAAGUUCUUUUUCUUUUUUUCUUUUAUUUUUGGUCAAUUAUGAUCACAAAUUGUAAUUGGAAAACACUGGGAGAAGAGAACAUCUUUUUUGCUUUCUUAAUUCGGCAAGAAAUAAACCUUUUAUUAGGAUUUGAAUUUUGAUUGCCUUUGGUCAAUGUUUGGGAUCUAGAAAAGAAUCAUCAAAUGAUUAAAGGCCAAGGUACCCUGUCAAUUUUGGUAAAAGGUGAAGAUUCUCUCCUUUUCUUUUUAUUCCCGAUUAAGUUGUCUUCCCUUUGAAUAGAACUUUGAUUUAUGCUUUGUUGUAAUUGAAAGCACUAGCUAGCUGAAACCUUUUUCCAGACGUUUAUAAUCUUGUUAACUUGUGAUCUUCCUAGCUUGAUUCGUAGGAUAUCAUUUUGAAGUUAAAAAACUACUAAAACUAUGGUGGUAGGAUAAUAAAUUCCCAAGAAUAAUCUAGGUGUGGGUGCAGUCCAAAGAAUAAUUUUAGGAAUGGAUGUAAUUUCUUGAGACUUUCUAGGAUUCUUUCUUUUGUAUCACUUACAUUCUUUUUCCUAUGGCUUUUUAACAACUAUCUUGCCAGAUGCAGCAGCUUGGGGGCCGAGCCUAAGAUGAGAAUUCAACGGUUCAAAUAACUUCCUUUAAAAAAAGAUUCAGAGUACUGAGAUUAAUCACCUUUUUAUCUCACAUAUAAAUUGGCACGAGGGUUUCUUCUAUAGUACGUAUCAGCACCCUAGUUUCAACAGCUUUAUGGAAAAUAGAAGAGUGACGCAAAGUAGUUAGCAUGGUCGAUAUCAUAUGAUUGAAGUUAAGGCCUUUUUCUAAGUGUCAUUUUCUGGUUUUGCUUAAAAAGGGGCUGGUGAAGAAGCAAUGGACCACAAUUGGAUUCAACUGUACUAAUUAAUCACUUAAUCAAGCCUGCCUUGUGCUGCAUGAAAAUUGUCAAAACAUCCGUACUUUCUUCCACGAGUGUUUGCAGGGACCAUCCUAUUUCCAUCUCUUAUUAUCACACUGUAGAACUUGAUUGUGAUUACAAUGUAGGGUGGUCUACAGUAAAUAGAGUUCCCCAACUACUACUGAGCUGAUUCAUGACCAAUAAAAAGAACAAUUCCUGAAUUUGUAAUUCUUUUUCACGUUGUUUCUUUAACACUUAAUAUUGAAGUGAUCUACAUUGAUGAGAAUGAACUGAGAAAGGGCUUCUUCUUCUUCUUUUUUUUCAUCCUUUAAACGUUGUAGUUCCACAUCUACUUAAUUUUCACCCAAUUCGAUGAUUAAGAAGCAAGGAUCGAUUAUAAGAAUUUUCUGAGACAUUUUGAUUUGGAUUAAGUUUUUAUAUGCUGUUGGUAUAGAGAAAAAAAAAUUUUACACUUACUAACAGGUGCAGAUGUAUGUUACUUAGAAAUUAUAUUACGUGACAUAUAUCUAUAUUUACUUAUACAUAUACUGACAGUGCAUAAAAAAAUUAUCCGACUGAUUGUGUAAAGAUCUUUUGCAGGUUAAGCAUGGAGCUGAUGCCUCCCCUUUGGAUCAAUUGAAAUUGCAUCGAAUCUACCACAAUAAUGCAUAAGGUGAAACACUCAAAAGUAGAUGUACAUAGACGUUGAGAAAAUGACAAAAGCAAUAAAAGAUAUGCAUCGAUAUGUAAAAACAUUGUGAACGUUAGCAGUAUGGUCCAUCUGGAUAUUGUUGGGACUAUUGAAUGUACAACCAUGAAAUCUCAAAUAUUUGGAGCUGUCAGAAAGACAAAUUGGAAAAGAAUUGGAAAUCUACAAGUUGAAAAUUAGAAGUUCAAUUAAAAACUGGAACUGGAAAUAGAAAGUUUUUGUUUUUCUUAGGAUUAUUAUCACUUUAUCCCCUUAAACUAUAUCACUACUAUUAAUUUACCCCAUAAUGUUAUCUUUUAGUCACUUUACCCCUAUAAGUAAUUCAACUCAACAUGUUAAGAAAUUUUGGACAAAAAUAUCCUUUUAUUUUAUAGCAUUACUACAUUGUUAUUAUCACUUUAUUCGUUUAGAUUAUAGUUAUAUAAUCACUUUAGUUCCUAACGUUAUUUUCUAGACAUUUUUUACCUCAUCGUUAAUGUAACUAGUAUGGUCAAAAAAUUUAAAUAUAUUUGCCCUUUUUUAUAUAUAAUUAAAAAUAAAAAAGUUGGAAUGGUUAUUCUUCCUUUUCUUUUCACUUUAAGAGAUCGAAAGACAUAAAAAUAAAAGAAUUUUCUCAAAUUUCUUUUUUUCACACUUAUUAAUACUUAGAAAAGAAAAAGACACAGGAAAGAAGGAGACAAAAAAUUAGAUUUUGCAAAGAAAGAAAAUAAAGAAAAAUCUAAUAUUAUCGUAUUACUUUAAGGUUGUCGAGAUUAGGAUUGGAAUUUGGUAGUAAACAGAAAAGUGAAAUAACUUUAAAAUAAUAAAAGUAUUCAAUUCUUUCUUAUUUGUAAUUUUUUAAAAAAGAAUUGAGCUCUCUCUCUCUCUCUCCCCUCCCCAUUUCCAUCUUUCUAUUUUUUUCAAUAUUAAUAAGAUUGUCAAGAAGAAAGAAAUUAAUUUUUUGACUUUUUUUCUUGAUACUAAAAAGGAUAAGAGCCACUCUAAACUUUUUAUUCUUUUUAUUAUGCAAAGAGGAGGCUUUUUGCUUCUCAAGUUUUUUUAACUUGCUAAGUUGGUUUAAUGAUAGGAUAAAUUGUCUAAAAAAUAAAUUUAGGGGAUGAAUUGAUAAUGAGACUAUAGUUUAUAGGGGUAAAGUGAUAAUAAUUUUAAGGGUUAAACAUGUCUUUUCACUUCAAUUAACAAACUCCGUUAAGUUUGACCGUUAGUCUUGGGGGUAAAGUGAGUAAAAGAUAACGUUAAGGGGGAAAUUGAUAGUGGCACCAAACGUUAAGGGGGUAAAGUGAUAAUAACCCUUUUUCUUAAUUCCUAUUUUAUUUUACUACAGUUGCCCACUUGCUGAUAACUUUGGUGGGAGAAAAUUAUUUGGUGAUUGAUAGGCAUUAAUUAAGACAUUUCCUUGAAAUUUUUUAGUUAUAUCUGAGGAAAGCUAAAGUUUAGCAGCUCUUUUGAUUUUGAACGUUUUGUCAUGGAACAUAUGCUUCAGUUUCUUUUUUUUUUUUUUUAAUGAACUUUGCAGCAAAAAUAAUUAUGUACAUGGGCACAAGAGUACAAACACCACGAAUUCAUAUUCACUAACAAAGGGAGUCAAGACUUGGGAACUAAAAGAAAUGAAAGUUAAAAGAAAGAAGCAAACUUUAGAUACUUAAUUCAUGGGUCAUAUUAUACACAUUAAUAACAUGUAAAUCAUUUGUCAAAAUAGCCCUCAGUCCUCCCCUUGAAUCCAAUUUGUCCAAAAGUAAGGGUGAUAAACAACCCCAAAUGCCAAGUGACCAUCCACAACCUGCCCGAUCAUCAAGAAAAACAUUAUGCCCAAGUGAGAAAGAAAAGUAUAUACAUAAUCUAAUUAGUAUGAACUAAUGAACUAAUCAUAUAAUGAGUUAAGCAAAAUAAUCAAAUCCUCUAGUUAUCCAAGUAGGCUAGCAAGGGUUGAGGAGACGUUAGUCUAAUUGCUAAAGUUUAUAUCCAAAAAAAUCAGAAGUUUUGUGUUUAAAUCCCCUUGUCCUCUUCUUGUUUUUUUAAAUCUCAUCUCUCCUCUGCCGAAAUAAAUUUAGAAAAAAAAAAAAGAGUUGGCGAGCAAGGCAUAUAGUAAUGUUAUUGGAAUGUACUUCGAUUAUGGUAAUCCCACUAAUAUAGAUUGAGUUGAUUGUAAUCAUAUGGUGCUAUCAAAAACUUAAGCAAAAUUAUUUGUUGAUUCGCACUUAAUAUUUCCCCAAGUUGCCUCAUCUAGACAAUCUAACAUGGAAAAUUUUGUAUGAUCAAGAGGUGGAAAUUAAUCAUUUGCCUCCAUGUUGAUCGAAUUGAACGAUGGCCUUCGAUUAUCCAAAUUAGACAGUCCCCAUAUGCUUUGGGAAUUGAAAUUCAUACCUCACUAGAUAAUUUUAGUAUUCCCAAAUUUCGAAGUUCUACUUUUGGGCAUGGGCCAAGGGCCGUUAAUUGAUGAUAUUUAUGCUUGUAGUCACUUUGCAGGGCAUGCCCGAAAUCCUUUGUCCGGUUGCUUUGCUUACAUCAUCAGUUGGACUAUAUGAAGAUGUUACCACACUUAAUGUUGGAAAAGUAAUAUGUAGCACAUUUAUGAAGAUAAUACCUCAGGUAGAUUCUACCUAAAAACUUAAGCAAUUAAUUUACCGGCUAGUGUUUAUAUGUCAUGAGCAUAUUGUCAAAUGAUUGAAUGUUCUUCGAGAUUAUAAUGCUUUUUUUUAGGAGGAAAAUGAUGAGAUUUAAGAAGUGAGAAAGAUGGCAGAAGAAUUUGAACCCAACAUCCAACGUCUCUAAUUCAUUGGACUUCAUGAACUAAGGAUCAAUUAUAGUACCUUAGUUGGUGUUUGCUCGUCUUGGUUUAUGACAAAUUAUUACUUUAGUUUAACACAAAUUCCAUCACUUUUUCGGAGUCUCAUGACCAAAUUCAGGGUUCAUGCAUGUAGAACAAGAUGGUUAUUAAUUAGUACACAAGUGAAUCCAAUUCUAAGCCAAAAGCAAGGGCAUCAAAUUUAGUGUCGACUAUUUUGACUAUUAUUAUUUAGAGAGUAUAUUUCAUCAAUCUAUUUAAAUUUUCUAUACUUAUUUCGGUAGGGAAGGAUCACUACUUUAAAAAAAAAAAGUAUUAAAAAAAAGAAAAAGAAAAAAUACUGUAACCAUAAGUCAACAAGGCUUCUGAACAUGGACGACCGCCCAAUUAUUUGAGUGAAGCAUAUCAAAACUAAGAUUUCAUCUACCAAAAUAUCAAUGGACUCUAUCCUGGCAGGCCCAAUAUGUAAAUGAAUCCAUCCGAGUGAAUGGAAAGAUCAUUGCUACUCUUUUAAAGGAUCCGUUAUUUAUUUACUACGUUUUUUUGCCUUACAGUUUUGGCAGAUGUAAUUUCCAUAUGGGGAAGCUUAUGUAGUUGAAAAACUAAAAUUGAAUUGGGAAAUGGGUUAUAUGCUUACCAGAAUGGAGAAGUGAGAGGAGGACCAGUAGGGAAGUGAGCCAGCUCAGUUCCAAUACUCUCAAAGAGGAGCCCUGUCAAGCUUUUCCCAUUAAUUACUGGAAUGCUGGAAGGUGCAAUCCAACCAAUUAAUCCAAAUCCAAUCACAUUGAAGUCUGUCCUCAGCCAGUCUCUCUCAAAGCUUCAAUCAGUUAGUAUAAGACACGUUAAUGAGGCAAAACCAAAUUAAGGAAAUCACCCUGAUGAAUUACAUAGCAGCAUAAUAGUACUUAAGAGACAUGAUUGUUAUGGAAUUUUUGGCCUUAGAGAUGAUUACCAAGUAAACUUCCCUCCUGAUAUUUGUGCUAGGCUCAAAGGAUUCCUAGUCGUUACGGGAGAUUUUAGGAAGCCUAGAGAAAGAGAUCAUACACUAAAAAAAAUUAGAAAACGCUAUAAUUUGUAUAUCCGAACAUGUUAUUGAACCAUCUGUCACGCAAUACAUUGUCAGUGUAAAAAAUAAACAGGGUUUUACCUGAGUUCAAGCAUACUUUCUUUGGUGAAGAUGCCCGAGAAGGCGAUGACAAAGAAGAUGUUCCCAAGCCUACCACGGUUGAGGCAGUAGCAAAUGUGGUAGCCAUAGUUUUCUGUGCUUGGGUUUCAAUAGAGGAAAGGCUUGGGUUUGAUCUGAUGAAGCAAAAAUAGUGGGGAAAUUUGGAUGGUUAUUUACAGAUAUUUGGCAAUACAUGUUGCAACACAAGUGGAUUUGAGCGAGUAAUGGAUUGCAUGGAUUGGCUGCUAAGCAAUGCUAUCUUGCCAUGUGGAGUUGUAUGGAUAAAAUGGACCCUGAUUUGGAUUGACUGGAUGUACAGUAACCCUUCUCUCCUUGGUUGCCACAGGUGUUGGGUACACUUAAAACGGGACCAAUUUUGGGUCGUGGCAUUGAUCCUGCAAAAUUUUUAUGGAGAUUAAACCUUGGUUCGUUUAGGAAAAAUAGUUAUUCUAAGGUAAAAAACUUGCAGCAGAGUACAAAUAUCUUGUUUGUCCUGAGUAUUGAUUGUAAUGAUUCUUUGAAGAAUUUAGCAAUAUUAUGGUCAGGGAUUUUUCAUAUUCGGUCAAUUGUGUUGAGUAUAAGAAGCUUGCUUUUGGAUAUGCAACAGCUAAACCAACAUGUUUCUUGUCCAUGGAAGUUGCAGAGACAUUCUUGGGGUAAUUUUCCAAAGAUAACAUAGCUUGUCGAAAUACUUGACAGACUAUAAUUUUGUUUUUGACAAUGUCCCUAUAGUCAUGUUAGUGAUUGCAUCGUAAUUAGAUCCAUUUAGACUAUCUUGUUUUUUUUAAUUUAAGACGAGAUUCCAAAACCUUCAAGAGGAAAGGAAAACGUAGAAGAUUUGAAGUCGAAUCAGAACUGCAGGCUAAUGAAUUCUAUACUUGUUCGUUCUGAAACUAUCCACCACUUUAGAGCUAAGAACUCAUAAGGAUGUAUGACCUAUAAUUAAUGGAUUGAACAAAUACAACUUGUUUAGCUUGAUUUGCCAUAUUUGCAGGUAAAUUGGAUGUCAUAAUUCUUAAAUGCAUAUGAAGCACGAAGUAUUCUACAGUUCAUGAACUUAUUUCCCUUCAUUGCCUCAGCCAUUAUUUUGUGUAGAUUUCAAUUAUAUUCUUGAUUAUUACCUCCUAAUGUUAUUCUUAACAAUCCAUUAAGUCAACCUAAAGUUAGCAAAGUACUGUUCAAAUUAGACUUUGAUGAAAAGUCCUGUGCCAAUCAUCACAUCACGCACAUAUAUCUGUGCAAUACUUAUCACGUCUGUGUUCCUGGUUUAAUCUUGCCAAUGAUCAAAUUAAUAUAAGAUCUGGGCUCCAGUCUGAAAGAUGCAUGUCGAAUUAAAUACAAACAAGAUGAAAAUAAUAACGUAAUUGACUCAACUUACUUAAAUUUUUUUUAAGGUCUUAGUAUUAACGUAGUAGUAAAUCUUUUUUCUUUCUAGGGACAAUUGAAGCUGUGAUAUGGUCGGUGUUUAACGUGAAGGGGUAGGUGAGAAUGGCAUGUGUCUUUGGAAAAUGAAAUCAAAACAUGCAUCUUUAGUUGAUUUUUCAAUCACUUUUUGCAUUUUUCUCGUGGGAAACAAAGGAGGCUUCAUAUUUAUGCCAAGAAUGUGUAACAAAUGUUACCUUAAUCCCAUGAGAACAAAUGUUACCUUAAUCGCAUGGUAAAUAUAACACAGCUAUAACAACAAGAUGUGUAACAAACGCACUUUCUCUAUGCCAAGAAUUAUGCAAUUUAUUAUGGAUUAAUCUUGUAUAUGCUAACAGUGUAUUCAUUAUCAGCGUUGAAUGAAUGACAACUAUGUAAAAUUUAAAUUUGAAAUCUAAUUUUUUUUUUUUACAUAUAUCAUAGAUCCAACGAUAAUAAUGUACACAUUGUCGAUAUAUAAAAAAUUACUCAUUUAUUAUGUUGUCAAAUUAGCUUCAACUAAAAUAUAUAUUCUUGUAAUUCACAUUACAAUCUGAACGAAAUCUUUCAAGAUAUUUGGUGGCCCAAGUAAUGAAUUUUCUAUUGUCAAGAAAUAAAAGUAAUGAAUCUACUAGCAUAGACACUGUGCAACCAGGGGGCUUUGUAAAUUUUUGUAUUUACAACCAUCAUCUGCUGAAAGAUCAAAUAAAUGGAGGAACAAUAUAAGCAAUAAAUAUAAAUCCCAGAUUUGAAGUCUAGUGGGUCCUUUGUUCGAAGUUUUAGGCAGAUUUAUCAAUACAAAUGGUACUAAUGACAUUGUAUUAGCCCUUAUUGAGUUGAUUAUAUUGACUUAAAAGCAUUUCUCAAUAAAUUCAAAUUGAAGUUUUAUGAUGUUAGGACCACUUAGCCGAAAAACACAGCUCCCCCACUACGCAGCACCAGAAAUGAGGCAAAUUUAGAGAACAUUUCUUCGAAAACAUGCCAAACCGGCAGAUCGUCUGUUUUCCUUCUUGCAUUUGUUAAUGACAAAGUGGGAAUGUUAAAGUAAAACAUAAGUUAAAAUCCUGUCAUUAGGGGAACAAUGCAAAUAAUUAAGAGGACCUCGCGCACUAUUAGUGAAUCUCCCGAUCUUAAUUGCUUCUACAAGCCAAUGACAACUUUUUUUCGUGACCGUGUGCAUGAGAUAAAAAAGUGAUUAAAAAAUAAUAAAAGAGAUUUGUAAUAACCAUCUCGAGACCGAACUCAUGUAACGAAAUUGGAGGUACAACAUAAGUCGAACAGUGCACCUUGUAAAUUAGAAUAGCUGCUGCUAAUGUAGUAGGGUAGGUUUAGGAAUGCUGAUAUCCUAGGGUUUUUUUAUUCAAAAGGGAAUCUAGCUAUUGCUCUUCGAUAGCAUCUUUUGGUAAAGAAAAAGGGAAGUGCUGUUGUUGUCAAUCUUAAUUAAUGUUGUUGUUUUCUUGCAAGAAAACAGUUGUGCGAAUUUGGCUCCUUUCCAGCGGAUUCUUUAUCCAUUCUCCAUUUUUGAUAAUGUAUAUCUGGAUGCAUGACAUGCGUCUACAUAUCAUACAUUUGCACGCACGCACGUUGUGAGAAACAACGAGAAAAUUCACCGGCCAGAAGCCGAAACGAAGAGAAAAUUCACCGGCAAGAAGCCGAAUCCUGUGCUUGGCGGCUGAAAUGGAAGGUUAUUUCGUAGAAAUUGAAUUUGGCCUACUAAAAUCUCUUGAGAUUCAUUGUACGUGGAAUGUUUCUAGAAUUCUAUAAUGUUUGAAUGAAAAUGUAGAUUGGUUAGAUAAGAGUGUACCUACAGCAUUCAAGGAUGUACCAUAUCGCUUUAAAAUGGUUUCAAGUGAUCAGCCUUACUUCAAUCCUAUCCUAGAGUGCAAUAAUUUUAAUUACCUGAAGCCAAUGUGUGCUUAAACUGUAAUUACAUUAAUAUCAAAUUUAAAACUGGAAUUUCUGCCAUUUGAGUCCCCAAAAUGGUUAUGGUCAGUACCCAGUAUACUUGAAAAUAUCUUAUGCAGAUCAACUUGUUCAAUUUUACCAUUUAAUCCUUUGGAUCCUCCUCUCUGAUGCCUUCAUGCCUUCACUUCUUCAUAAGAUUCAAAACAAGCAAUUAAUGAAAUGGACCAAUAACAAGUAAAAAAGAAUCAAAAUUGAAUCUAGACAUUAAACUUAUUUGAACUUCUGUACGCACUGUAAAUAUUUCAUUAUUCUUGGAGUGGAUGGAUGAAUAAACCUUACAAAUAUCAUAUAGCAAUGAAAUAAUCCAUUGCUUCUCUAAUUUCCUAUAGACACUUAAUCUUCACGUAUCUGAAAAAGAAUAAAUAUAAUAGGAGAAAAAUCUCUCCACAUAUUUCUAUGUAUUUUCCUAUAACCUAAAAAAGUAAUCUGUCCACGAAAGUAAAUUUAAGGGCUAAUAUAAUGAUCAUCAAUCAUCAUCUAAACAAAACAAACGCCCAGAAAGCCAUGAAAAUACUAACCCCAGUGGCUAUGCACACCAUAUCCAACCUCCUUUCUCUGUUUUGCCUUCUCUCCCUCCAUUCUCUCCUAAGCUCCAAGAACACUUCAUACAUCCUUUUCUCCUCUCCAGCUUCACCUUUUCUCCUGUUCCCAUCCAUGGCUUCCUGUAAAAUUACCAAAGUGUCCUCCCCGCUAAUUAUUUUCCCCUCCAAGUCCUCCACCUGCAUGCUUAUCUCCCUCACUUGCAAGUCCCCUCCUUCCUUCCCUCCACAAGUAACCACAGCUUUACAGAUAACGAACUCUCUGCCAGCACGGCCGCCGCAACCUCCGGUAGCCAUCACCGUCGCGUAAGAGGCCUGAAUUUCUCCUGUUAACCAAUGGCGCCGGACAUCCACCGGAGUCAAACUCGACAAGUUAACAGCCCGUUUUUUCGCGGGGUCGAUGACUAUCCAGCUCAGCCUCAUGUUCUCCUCCACUCUAGCCAUGCACUUGUCGUCCUCGCCGUCGAACUUCACCAGUGCCGGAACUAUCUCUUUGGGGUCUAGCAGGUCAACCCUGAAGGGUGAACACAUGAACCAGCCGGAGGACGUCUCCGUCACGGCGACUUUGGAGUAAACAAGCUCAUUUCCAUAAUGAAUGUCAACAGCAGAAAUCAAUUCUGAUGAGUGACUAUCAUUGGACUUGGGCCGGCGGUGGGCCGGCGGCUGCCGGUGGUGGUGGUGGAUGUUGGGGAAAGAAUCCGAAUAGAACGAACGGUGGCCGGAAGGAAAGCUCGAUAUUGCUUGCUGAAUGCAUGGAUGGGCUGUUGACGGCCAGUUCGAAUUGCAAAUUGUCUUCCAAAGAUUUUCCUCCGUGCAAAGGCUGUGUAAAUCUGAAGAAGCACAGCUUGUAGAAGCAAGAGUUGGGCCAUCAAGCCUAGUCAAGAUAUGUGUUUGGAUGAUGUCCGGAUGGACAGCGGUGAUCGUGGUGGCUCCGCCACCGUCGGCGGAGGUCGCUGCGGCGGAAGUGGAGCAGCUAGAAGACAUAUUCAUUGGUCGGUCUUGGUUUUAAGUGUUGAAUAUUGAUCAAAAUCUUGAAAUUGGACUUUGAAGGAAGCAAAUAUUCUAUUCUAUAUUUCUAUAUACCAGCUUCAAUUGUUUGAGAGAAAAGAUGAGGAGUAGUUGUUUCUUGCUUCAGGAGCGAGAAGCAUGAAGAAUUGAAGAUUGAGGGGUGGUAUAUGUACACUUCAUGGAGGAUGGAAAAAGUGGUUUGAUUUUAUCAAAAUGGGAGAGUCAACACUGGCAUGUUUAACAUUUGAAAUAAAAUAGUUAUAAGAUAGUGGUAGUACUACUACUUAUGGUACAGUGGAAUUAGGGAGAAUUAAUGAGUUGGGGCUCUUAAAAGAAGCCGUAUUUGACUUUGAGAUAACGUUCAAACUUCCCAAUGUCUCCCAAGGUGCCAAGUGAGAUAACGAAAGGCUAAAGCUUACAAAAUGAAAUUUACUUUUAAAAUUUUUUAUACUAAAUAUUCAUGUGAUUUUUUUCUUCUAGAAUUCAAGUUCAUUGGGAAUAAUUAAGUGAGAUAAAUAAAAAGUACUAUGCAAAAUGUUUACCUAAAACUAAAAUAUUCUGGGACAUGACGUAAUUUUUCGCGUCAUUUUUAUCCUCAAUUAUCAAAUAUAGGAUUCAAAUCUUGAAUUUGAUAUGAAAGAGACUCUAAUUGUUGGCUAGUAGCCAGUGGGGCAACCCCAGUAGUCGGUAUCAAACCAAGAAAGUCACUCAUGAAGAAUCUUUUCCUUUUAACAUGUGCCACAAAUUCAAAUAUUUUUGUAACUGUUUUUAGGAAUUACUUCAAAGAUUCGUCAUAUGUUUCAUUUGUAACACUGAGUAUAUAUGUUACUAUAUUUAUAUUCAUGUUGGAUAAUUAAAUAACUUGCAUAUCUGAUUCAAUAAUGCAAAUUAUUCUAUCAUAAAACAUAUUUACUAAAAAAAAGUAUAUAACACCUAUGUAUUUUGAAGUAUAUAAUGAUAUAUAUAUAUAUUUUUGUCUUUCUCUAUCUUAGAAGUCUCUCUUCACUUUGGGAUUCUUCUUCCUCUUUUUUUUUUUUUUUCUUCUGAUCCCUUUCAUUUUACACUGGAUGGAGUUGUAAGUAAUAACUCUUAUAUUUUACACAAACAAGUCAAUAUGCUUUGGACCUAUAGUGCAUGUUAUUUUGGUUAUUUUGGGCUUCUAGUCGAGCGUGUAAAGCUGUCUUCGUCAUUUACCACUUGAGGGGCGAGAAGUCACAAGUGCCAUACCACCGGUUUUAUAUCUUAUAACUUGCUACAUAGUCCACAAAAGUCAAUUUUAGCAUAACAAAAUGUUGUUCCAAAAAAACAAACUAGUCGGUAGCACUCCAAAGUAAAAUCCAACAAAUUAGUUAGGUACAGACUAUGAUCUUUGGCUUUGUAUGGAUCAAGCGUUUUUCACGAUAAUUUUUGAAUGAUUUUAACAUAGCGACGUAUAUGAGAAACUUUUAUUGUACAUGAUUAGACGUUUAUGGUCUUUGGUUUUGUAUGAAUCAAGCGUUUUUUUAUAAUAUUUUUGAAAAAUUUUAACGGAGUGACGUGUGUAAAAAUUUUUUACUGUAGAUGACUGAACGUUUUUAAACGUGUACAAAUAGCUAUCGUUUAGCUAUUUUCGAACGGUAGCUACUUGAUAGGACGAAGUCAAUAUUGGAUGACUGAGGCUGGCUAAGAAGGUGAUGAAACUUGGCAGCACAUUGCCAAAUUGUCCAGUUCUGGUAAGUGAUCUUAUCCAAAUUAAUACGGAAAAGAAAACCCACAACUUGGGAGACUUUUGAGGUAGUUUCCAGCUUUAUUUUUCAAGAUUGAUAAAUGAAUUUGAUAACCACGAGCCUAAGACCACUUUUUUUUCUUGGUAAUAAAUGCUCUCACAAUCUUUAAUACUACUAUAUAAUAAGUUGGAUAUUUUGCAUCGUAUAUAUGCGUGUAUUUAGAGUAUAGACGCGUGCAUGAUGACUGGUAUGAAAGUUUCAGCAAAAUGGCCUUUCAGCAGAUUUCUUGGGCACCUUCAAGACGUGUCAUAGUCCUCAAGUGAUGACUCAAUAAGUUCUGGCCAAGUCUCAGCAGUUUAUUACUAGUUAUCCUUUGGCUCAGGUAGUUGCUGGGAUGGUCGCUGCCUCUGAUUAGUCGUACAUUUCUGAAAUGUUUUUGGUAGUUUUUUUUUUAAUAGGAAAUUUGUAUCUUUUGGGAAAUGAAAAGGUCAAAAUAUGUAGUCAAGUACCCUGAGCUCUGAUAAUUAAUGCACAUAUCCACAUUAUUGAGUGCACUUUGGUAGUUUUCUUAGAGGAUGCUGUAGGGUUCUUGCAAUUCUCCUCUUAAAUUCUGACAUAUCUUCAUAUUUGCCGAGUUUUACAGUAGUAUCUUUUGGGUAUCAUAUCGUUACGUAACAAUUCAUUGUUAGAUGUAUAAAAAGAGAUAUCAAUCUUAGAUAAUUUCAAGUUUUUUUUUUUUUUUUUUUUUUUUUUUUUUUUUUUGAAAAACAGGUUUUAAAAGUUUAAAUUAUUGACUGCUGGGGUAAGAGUUUUUAAGUAAGGUUUUUUGGUAGAAUUUUUCCAAUAUAGUGUACCAAACGUGAAAAUUAUUGAUAUCACAAAGGUUGACACUAAACCACUAACGUGCGAAAAAUACAACACAUCUUGUCACUCUUUGAAAGUUGUAUCCCUAUAUACCUACCCUACCGUUGAAAGGCCAUAAAAUUGAGGCUCUGAGGAGCCAUCCAAGAAUUUGGCAAGCGGUUUAACAAGCAUAAAAGUCUUUGAACUGCAGGUAUAUAUAUGUGUGUAUAUAUAUAUAUUCCGACUAUGGUAGUAUCAACAAGCUAUAAGUGGUUUCUGAAGUAAACCACAACUGGAAUAAAUAAAUUAAAAGGGAAAAGAUCAAAAGAACUACCAUUUUCAACCAAGGAACUAAUCAUUUAUAAUCAUUUCUUAGUUCUGCAACCUUGAUAUAAUCCCAAUCUUACAAGGAACUAAUUGCGUGUUCGGCAACCUUGGAUCCUUAAGUUUUUCAAAAAUUAAUUUUUCAAAUACUAUAAAAAUUUUUAAAAAAUACUCUAAAAGGUAGUCUAAAUUUUUUUUAAUGUUUAAAAAAUAUCUCAAAAUAUAUUUUAAAAACUCUACUACUUUUAAAUAUUUAAAAAUAUUUUGAAAUAUAUUCUAAAAACUCUGUUACAGUAAAAGUUUUCAAAAAUAUCUCCAAAAACAACUAAUCCAAACAGAGCCAUAUUUAUUUACAGAAAGCAUCCUUUUUGGUGUCGUACCAUGAUGGUGCACAUCAGAUAUUGCCCACUGAUGCAUAUCAAAUCAUGUGUAACUUCUAACAGCACUCUUAAAGGAAAAGGGGCCACCUUCAAUAUUCUAUUGGAUGGCUUUCUCCCAGCCCAAAAAAAAAAAAAGUAUUUCUGUGCUUGGAUCAGAAUAUUUAAGAUUGAUUUUUGAUCUUCAAAAAAAAAAAAAAGAAAAAAGAAAAAAUUGAACUGCACCUGAAUUGCGUAGAUAACUCUAAAGUACUUGAAUCUUAUUAUGCUUUUAAUAAAUGCUUUGGUUCGUAUGUCAUCUGUUCUAAUUUAUAACCUAUUCUUGGGAUUCAUCUCAUUUCUGGGAGAAUUACAUUAAUCAUCCCUCAGGUUUUGACUCUAUAAGUUUUUCACCUCUUAGAUUAAAAUGAAGCAUUUGGUCCUUUAUAUAUCCUAGAAAAGCAGCAUAUUCUAGUCCCAGAGUUCAUUUGCCAAGAAAGAACGUGGACAAAUCAAGUGAGUGACAUGGGCAAUGAGGAAGCAUAAUAAGGGAAAAAGUUAGGGUCCUCCAUGGGUUUGAGUAAGCUUUGUUGUGCAUGUGUGUGUGUUCUCUCUCCCCCCCCCCCCCCCUCCUCUCUCUCUUAUGUUCUUCCUAAAAUGUUGUUCAAGAGAUGUACUCUGGUGAAAAAUAGACUAUAAAUGAAGUUUUGGACUAUAUCACAAUACUUAUAAAAUCUGAGGGACUAAAAUGCCUAUUUUAAGUGUGAGGGACUAUAGAAGUAUAAAAUACCAAAAAUAUGAGGGAUUACUUUAAUAAUUUAUCCUUCAACUUUUUAAAAUUGCAAAUGAUUACAUGAUUAGGUGUUGGUACAACAACCAGCUAUUCAAAUAAUUGAGCCUUAAUUACAAAUAAAUUACUCCCUCCGUUCCUUAUUAGAUGGCCUGAAUAACUAAUUCUCUUAGAUUAAGAAAGUUGGUUAUUUUCUAAAAGUCAACAAAAGUUUUACUUUACUUCUCAAAAUUACCCUUUAUCUCUCUUCAGCUAUACCUAAUUAAUACUACCUGUCAUUUACUCUCUCUCACAUUUCUCAAUCAAUAGAUUAAAUCUGAAAAUCUGAAUAGUUCCCACCAAAUUUGUUUUCAUAGAUCUCAAAAUUUGAAUAUUAAUGGAGUUGGUCAAUCCCAAUUUAUAGACACAUUUCAAUUUAAUUCUUCAUCUCUUCAACUACUUCUAUUGUUAAUGCUACAAAUACUGCAUUUAAUUAUUUAGAGUUCCAAUUCAAGAAAGUUGAAAGGGUAAGCAAGGGUAAAUUUGGAAAAAAGUUCAUAAAUGCUUUCUUGAUAUCAUAAAAUGACAGAUAAAAAGAAACAAUGGAUUAGGACAUCUAAUAAGGAACAGAGGGAGUACAAUCCAAUAAAAUUGAUCAAGGACAAAACUAGAAUUCGAGAUUUGCCAAAUCCCAUUAUUAGUUCAGAAGGGCCAUCUUAAAGUAUAUAAUUACAAACAUUUCGUGUCUCUUUCCCAGCAUAUCAUGUACUCUCCAUGGCCUUAAUGUCCUAAGUACAUAAAGAAAUAUACAAAAACAUGCGAAAAAGAUUGAUCAUUAAUGGCUUUUUAUUGGCUUGUCAUGUUCUAGACUACAGCCCUUUUUUGGUCUUUCUGCCAUCAAAGUGUUUUGAGCUUUCGUCUCAAAUAUAUAUUAUCUUGAAGGGAAUUAAUCACUAUAAAUUAGUUUAUCGAUUAUCAGUAUUAAGAUUGUUCCAACAAUUAAAGCAGCUUAAUUACCAUUAGAGACAAAUGCCGCUCUUUAAUAUUCUAUUGAGCCGCCCCCUUAUUGAUCGAGAAAAUGCCAUUUGCUCAUGAUUCUUACAUGCUUUUAUAGUAUUUCAAUAGUAAGUGAACAAAUGCACAUAUUUUAUGUAUUUAUUCAUGUGUGUAAACAUCAAGAAGAUUAGUCUUAUUGAUAAGGAAAUAUUACCCAUAAGGAAUAUUAAUUUGUCUUUAGCAGUAAAGAUGGACAGGUUAAGCAGUUCUUAUUACGCUAGUAGCUACGAUAGAUUGAAUUUUAGUCUUAAUCUUAGCUAUUGGUGUUUUAAUUAAGCUUUGCUUGUCUUGUACUGGUGACUACUAGGAAAAGUCUUAUGCACUGGAUAAAUAGUAUGAUCCAUCUAUAUUAUUGCACUAAUCUUUUGGUCUUCCUCAUAAGUCAUGAGAAUGAUAUAAGACCUAAUCUUCUUCAUGAAGCACAAACUACCAUAGUACAGAUUCAUUCAUUUCUAUUAUGUCAGCACAAAAUCAUAUAGUAUUAGAACAUCAAAAAGGGGUGUCAUCAAUGGUAGUGUUUUUUCUAAAAAUAGACGCCUGUAUUUUUAAGUCUAAUCCACUGGGAGGAGGUAUCUUAUAAUUGAUCUUUAUCUGCAGUCUGAAGAACACAAGGUUUAAGCUAGUUUCAAAUUUUUUUUUUUAAAUGGAGCUUGAAAAUGUUGCUAUGUCAGGGAUUCUUUAUUAUUCAAUAUUGAUACCUUGCACACAAGGCAAAUGAACGUCAAAGUUCAGAUUUUUUUUCCCCACUUUGUUUAAAAAAAUGUUACUAAUUUUAGCUCAAAUUAAGUCUUCAAUAGCAUAAUUUAAGUUCCAACUGGAGUUAGGAUUAGGACAUAGAAGAUGUCUGUCCUGUCAAUAAACAAGUCAUUAGGGGAGGAUUGAGUUGGAUGGUCUAGGCGGAAGAAUUGUAAAUAGGAAAUACAGGAAUCAAGACCUCCCACUUACUAAAAAAAAUGAAAAGAAAAAGGUUCUUUAAAAAUUCAAAUUUUAAAAAGGUAUUUUCACUGAAAAAUGAAAUAAAAUAAUGCGUGGUUUUUUAUUAAAAAAAGUCAUUUUCACAAAAGAAAAUGAAACAAAAUAAUGCAUGGUUUAUUUUAUUAAAAAAAAGGUCAUUUCCACAAAAGAAAAAGAAACAAAAUAAUGCGUGGUUUUAAUAAAAAAAAACAAGGAGGGGCAACAUCUAUUUUGAUCAUGAUAUCAAACUAAAACCUUGCUAAUAAUAAUUAGGUAAUGGGUUGCGGACAAGGACUCGGUGGCCUUUCAGUUUCAGUCUCCCACCAGAAAUACCUUGGCAACCUCACAAGUAACUUCGAGUUGGGUGGUGAAUUGUGACAUCCAUAAACCACAAUCGCGGAUUACCUAAUCAAUUAAAUGCUUUUUAUUGCUUGCCAUUAAGUAAAUUUGGUAGAAGGUCAUUACCAUUGGAUUAGGCCAUGCUUGCAUUUGAUCCCCAUAUAAUAUUUACUUAACAAUCAAGCAAUUUCAUUCCAAAAAUAACCUGAACGUAGUAUAAAUUGGACAAAAUUAUCCAAUCAUAAUUACUCUUAUGCUUCAACAAAAACAUGAAAAGUUAAUUUAUAAAUCAUCAACUGUCUUGUCUUUUUUUUUUUUCCUUUUUUUUUUGAGUUGAGAAUCUUUAGAAAUCUUUUCUACAUUUCAAUAAAACAAAUAUUACAAGUUAGUAACUAAAAUUUCACAAUGAUAGUGAUUCUCCUGUUUACAUGGAGUGAUCUAUACCUAGACUCGUGUGUACAAACAAGUAGCGAAAGGCCUCGUGCUAGCCAUGAAAGAAAUUUUCUGCUUGCUUACUCCAUGGGAUCCAUCAACUAUUGGAAACAAUUCAACAGAAGUACUAAUUCUGAUAAGUUUUAGACAACUACAGAUCUAAACACACAAAAAAAAAAAGGAGGAGAAAUUAAAAAGUAGCAAAAAAAAAAAUGUAAAAUUUAACCAGCUUUGACAAAGAUAAACAAGUACAUAUAACGAAGAGUACAAAGCAAGGAAAAAACGUAUCACGUAGUGCCAAACUUAUUAAAAUGUUUACCUUAACAAAGAAUCCUCAUUUUUUUUUUUUGUCAAAUUUAUACUUUACUCUUAGCAGAAAAAAACUCCUGUUAUAGCCUAUGAAACUUGUUCAGUACUUUGUUCUAAAUUUUUAUCAAUAUAGAAGUUUUUAUUGUCAACUUUGAAAGCCUAAUUUCCUUGGAUAUGGGAUUUUGAGCAUUAACUAAAGAAAUAUAUUGCAAUUUUGGGUAGCCUUUAAGAAGAUGAGGAUGAAAUUAGUAUCACAAAAUGACAUUAUGUUCAAAUUUCAUUCGUUACUCUCUUGAUCCUUUUUCCCUUCAUCUUUUAAUAUUGUUUAAUUAGUUACUCUCAAGUUUGCUAAACUAAUCUUAUUUUGUCCCUAAAUUCAUUUGUUAACAACCUUAAUAGCUCAAGGUACACAAGUAAAUUCGUCAUAUUUUAAGUCAACCGUAUCCCCAAAACAUUAUCAGGGAGGUCGGUAUAAUUUUAAAAAUCUCAAAAAAGGUCAGUGCAAGUGUCAGAAACCUCAGGACUCCUCCCAAGAGAGACGAGUACAUAUAAUGAAUAUAAAAAUACUCGAUGUGGCCAUUGUCUUGAGUAUUUGAGCCAAUGAAGAGUGCAAAGCGAGAAAAAAAAACCUAUAACGCAGUGCCAAACCAACUAAUAUUAGAACAUUUAUCUCGUGCGCGAGGAAAUUGAAGAAUCCAGCAGCCACAUUGGACUAUAAAUCUGUCAAUAUCUGUAAGCAUCCCUUAUCUGAAAUUGGCUAAAUGACUAUUUCCAUUUCUGUUAUCAGAGUCAGCUGCAUUAUGCUAUAUUUGUGACUGAGCACUCAAAUUUCUUGGUAACUAGAAAGGGUGAUAGCGAAAGUGAGUGAACGAGUCUCCGGUCGACUGAUUAGUCGGUGAUGCAAUGGAGCAAUAAGACUUUUGGCUUAGCAGACAUUUCAGUUUAAUUUUCUAAAGCUAGAAAGAAAGAAAUGUUUUUCAUGGUUAAUUUAUUACACCCUUUUAAUUCUCCAAAGUCAAAUCUGUUGACUUAUAGAUAAAUAGAGCUUGUGGUUGGUAAAACUUUUAAAUUUACGUUAAUUAACCUAACAAGUGCUACCACUAGCUUUAGUCAACUUCAUGUGUGAAUAUAAGAUUUCACACAACAAGUGUUAUAUUAAAAAAUGUUCGUAUGGUCUUUCUUUGACAUUGAGUUGUAGAUUUCUGCUUUAACUAAUCAACUUUUGAUGAUUGAGGGAUGAUUUCUCUAACCUUUGUUAGCCCUUAUUUGACUCAAACAUGUAUUAGUUUUUGGGAUUUAUAUUCGCUCUCGGAUUCAGUACCAGAGGAGGGAAAGAGGAAAAAUUCCUUCUUUUUCUUCCUAACAAGUAAUUUUGCAUGGUGAAUUAAGUUCAUCAAGCCCGUGUGUAGGUGGACAUUGUUUUGCAUACUGUACUUCGUUGUACAUACAAACGUAGACUUAAACAGGGGACCAAAAAAAAGAAACAAGUAAGGCCUGGACCAAUUAAUAAUAGAACAAAAAAUAAAGAGGGAUUACUCAUAAAGCUGUUGAUGAAAUUAAAAAUUAAAGGUUGGAUUGAAAAUAGAAGAAAAAGGAAGAAAAAAACCAAUAAUUAACAGUUAAUUUCAACACAGAUGUUACUAAUAGUGAAGUGUAUAUCAUAACAUGGAUUGACUGGAAAAUAUAGGAGACGACAACUUUAUAACAGAUUUAUAUACCAAUUUUUUUUACCUUUCAAUUCUUUUUACAUCCUAUUCGCCCUCAACUGUCAAGUUCAGAAUUUGAAUUGUAAACUUGACAGCGGGCCAACUCCAGUAAUUGGAUUUUAUAUGCCUAUACAAAGAAGAAAAGUGAAGAAAAUGUAAAUUAGUUCCUUUUACAUCCUUCGUUUGUCGAAUUGACACAUUUUACAUCACAAAGUAAAAUUUGUGGUAAAUUAACUCUCAAAAUGCCUUUAUUCAUCAAAGUGACAAAUAUCUGUACGAUCAUUUGAAUAUGGUACUAUACAAUCAUGGACAUGAAGUUUCAACUGUUCUAUGAAGAAUUUGAAAGUUAUCUGUUGAGUGUUACGUGUAAUAAUUUGUUGCAAAGUUUCUACAUCAAAGUGGGACUACUUAGCACGAGUGCUUCAAAUUUAAACCAACAUUGGUAUUAUUACGAGACAAAUAAUCACGAGCCAGGGUGACAAAAACACGUUCCAGUUUUCUUGAUCUGUCGAUAUGGUUCCAAUCUUUUGGAAUAGUCUUAAUGGCCUACACUGAUCAACUCGGAGGAUGUCCAUAAUAAUAUGUAAUCGUGCAUUACGCUGCAGAAUAAGAAAUUCACCAGUUUUAUGAGAAGAGAGAAGUGGAAAAGUUGCUGUUUUUUUUUCCCUUCUCAAUAGAAAGAAAAAAAUUGCUUCACCUACCUCUAGUGCUUGAAGAUUUUUGUGGCCGCCAAAGUUUUAUGUACUAGGAAUUUUAUAGUAACUUGGGCCCUGCAACUUUUCUGCUUUUCAUUCUAGAAUCAGUUACAUCCCAGAUGUACCAAGUUAAUGGAGAAUAGGAUAUGAUUCUCAAGAUCAUAGAAAUAGAACUAUAACUCAUACUUAGUUGUUUGAUGCCUUCGAGCCUUUGUUAAGCAGAGUCUUAAAGCCAAGUUUAAAUGAAAGUUCUGUCCAUAGGGCACCAAUAAUUUUCGAUGCCAGUUUUUGGCGAUGAACUGCAUAAAACAUUGACAUUAAGGAUUCUCCAACAGAAAACUCCUAAAAAGAAUUGCAACUUCAUCCAGAUUGUGGUGGAUACAGGUAAUUUUAAAAUUGAAAACUUGUAAACCUGAGGUCAUUGCAGCUUCAACCAGAUUGUGUUGAAUGCAGGUAAUUCUGAUGUGCCUCUAACAGUUACAAUAUGCUAGCCUUCUAAAAGUGAACGUUUUCAGCACCACUACCCCAGAAUCAGUCAGAGCUGCUCUAAGUUUAGUUACAGUGAAUUGUCUCCUUGGAACAAAGGAUAGAUCAAGGAGAAAGUCUUCGUGGAUCACGAGGGAAAAGCGAUAUUUUGCGGAUGUUGUUCAAGGCACAGAAAUGUAUAACCACACACGCUCCAAUCCUGCUCCAAAGUCCAUAGCCACCGAGCUGAAGAAUUGAGGUUCUUGAGUACGCUGAGCUGCAGAUGAUGAUGGAAGUAUCGAUGCAGGUGAUGAUAUUCAAGUAGAUCUAUUGGUGUAAACUGAUGCAUCUACUUGUCACCAUACAGGUUUAUUGUAUCUAAAGCUUUCAGGUAGCUCAUACUUCAAAAAAAAGUCGAAAAUUUUGAUUGUCUUUGUCUAGCUGUGCUGCAAAAAUUAUAAUUUCCAGCAUGUUAUUGACUGUUAAAAUUUUCAGAUUCUUACAAGCUAGAGUGGAAGGAGAGAAUAAAAAGAAUCAAAGUUGUGAAUAUUUAUUUCCUUCUUGUCUUAAUCAUUAGCUGUUUAUGGAGCCUAUGUCUCUGCAUAUCUCUCCAAAAAUCUGUUCAAUCAGGCAAGAAAUUUAACUUCUGCAAAAAUAUCUAUUACAUUGUGCCCUCAUGUCUGCGACUGAUAGGGUUUGUUUAAUCAGACCAAAUGCCAUCCAAUGGAUAUGCAAAAUUUGAUGAAGGAUUUCGUUCUUUGUUAAACAAGCCAGCUGAGGCUUGAUUUCUGCGUGUAACUAUUUUUGUUAUGGACUAAAUCAGCUUAGGGUGCUAAGCUUAAUUCUUGUUUUAGAGCAGUGUUACAUGGCUGUAGUUUGAUUGGACUAUAUAAAGCUUCACAAAUUCAUUUUUGUCGAAAGGCCAGAUGAAUUGGCGACUCAUGGCAUGUUUAAAAGAGACUUUCUUUCACGAGGGUGCUGAUGCCAUUUAAUGCUUGAUGGUUGUAUUUGAUCACUUACUGUUCAAUUCUCAAUCCCAUUUCAUGCUAGCAUAGUUUAGCUUGACUACACAAAUUCAGAUACACUGGUUGUACUUCUGUCCAAAAAAAAGUUUAAUAAUAAAUGUAUUGUAAGUCCUUUUUGUGGUAGGAAAAAAGUUUGGAUGGAUUCGAUUUCGAUCACUAUCACGUGGCAGUUUAAGUUGUGGUAGGAAAAAAGUUUGGAUGGAUUCGAUUUCGAUCACUAUCACGUGGCAGUGUAAGUCUAGAGAUGCAUAUGAAAUCACCACCACGCCCAGUGUAAGUUUAGAGGUGCAUACGAAGUGCUGCUCUCUCUCUCUUGCGUUUUCAUCCAAAGAAUUAGAAGAGUGUGUAUGAAGUUAUGAACAGACAAUUUAUUUUCCCCCACUGUAUGCAGCAAUGCAUCACGAGGGCAAUAAAUGAUUUAUUCUCUCUCCAAGCCAUGAGCUACCACUAUUUUCUGGAGGCCAAAUGCAGCACAGCAGCAAAACUUGUAGCAUUGAAAAUUUUGGGAGACAAACUGAUAUUCAUAACAACUUGUUCUUGUGACAAACACAAUGUACCUGAUUAAAACCAUAAUGACCUAUGUUGCAGCUGGUUUUUUUCCGGUUUAGUUUGAAAAGACUUUGAGAUACCACAACAUCUGAAGUCCUAAUACGCUCAGAAAAUUGGUCUCAACCCUAUAACAGAAUGGGCACGGACAGUUGUCAAUGACAAUCAUCCGGAACAGUGUGAGGAUUUUUGAACUGAUUGUAAUUCAAAUUGAAUUACUUAUACAUCCUUAUAACCGAGGAUGUAAUAUUAUGCAUGGAACUCAAAUGAACAGUAACACAAUGUUACACUUUAGUUAUAAGAAUGUAUAAAUUAUUCAAUUUGAAUUACGACCCAUUUAAAAAUCCUUAUACCGUUCCGGAUGGUUAUCACACACAAUCGUCCGUGCCUCUGGUCCAAACAUUCCCAAUUGCUGGUGAUGCGAAAAUGAUAAAAUCAUACCCAAUUCAUCACUUUUAAUAGGCCUAUUUCUUGACAGAGAAAAAAAAAAAGGUGCUGGUAGAACACUAGUCUUACUUAUAUAACUUAAACUAACAAAGGUUCAAGAUUUAGAGCUGAUUUGGAUUGUAAAUUUUUGGAGUUUUUUAAGUAGAAAAAUAUACUGUAGCAGCAAUGUAAUAAUCCAAAUAGGCUCUUAAUAUUUUGCCCUUCUAAAUUCGGGUUCGACCAUCAUUUUUGCAACUUAGAUGUAUACUGCAACAAGUUUCAGGAGUUAAAAGAAGCGGGAACAUGAACAAACAUAACUGCCAGACCAAAAAAGGGAUGGAAUUAACUGAAAAUAUGAAGAAAAAGAAAAAUAAAUUUUACAGCUUGAAUUUACAAGUACCAAAGACCGGCCAUGGACAAAAUCACAAAAUACAGAAGGGAAAAGGGACUCACCAAAACCAAAAUACAAAGUCCAAACCAGAGCUCCAACCCAAACCCCCACGUCUGUGUUGCCUCUGCCUCACGAAGCUCCAUCAUUUGCGUAGCCUCAAUUGCUUUGCAUGCCGCCCAAAACUCACUUGAGAUCCUCGGUGACAUAUUUUGAGUGCCAAUCCAAUGCCACCUCUAAUAUUGUGCCAAGUGUCAUAGUAAUUCUUGGUCAUUUGAAGCAGUACAAAUAAUAACAAGACACUUGGCGCAAUAUUAGAGGUGGCAUUGGAUUGGCACUCAAAAUAUGUCACCGAGGAUCUCAAGUGAAAAAAACUAGCCAACUUCAAUUCCCACGUACUACCACUGGGCUCCAUCCCCGACCCCACCAACACUUUCCAUCUCCCCAACCAAAGAAUAAUAUUUAUAGGUUAAUCACAAUUAAUCGCCUUAAAGUAUACCUCAUUUUUUAUUUUACCCCCUAACCAUUUUUUGGUCUCACUUUAUCCGUAAUUGGACAAAAUUAUCCCUCUAUUAUUCUAAACUCUUAUUUUUCUCUUUUAUUUUUUUUCCUUUACCCUUGUGUGCUCUUUCAUUUUCUUUGCUUCUUUCUUUAAUUCUUUUUCUUUCUCACAAAAAUCUUCAUCUUAAUGAUUAAAAUUAAAAAGAGGAAUUGCAAUGAUCUCUCUUCUCCUUAAAUGUUUAAAAAAAUUCAAAUCACUUUCCUAAAAUACAAUUUUUUUUUGCUUUUCAAUUCUUUUAAUUUUGAUUUUUCCUUUUUCCUUUCUAGUUUCUCAUUUUAUUCUAAAGAAAAUAUGAUAAGAUAUAAUUGUGACCUGAUUAAUAAUCAUCAAUUGAAAUUUGUGACACGUGACAUCAUACAAAAAAUUAAAAUUAGUUUUUAAUUCCUUUUAAAUUUUCAUCCAAAAUUGCAAUAACAAACUCAAAAUAAAAAUUUUCGUUGAGAUGGAGUUUUCUAUUGAGAAGGAUGAAAGAGAGAAGAAAAAGAAAAAGAAAUAAAAGAGAGGAAAAAAGGUAAUUGAAAAGUCAAAAUAAUGGAAGGAUAAUUUUGUCCUAUAGGAGGUUAAGUGAGUAAAAUUAAAAGUUAGGGGAUAAAGUAAAAAAUAAGGUAUACCUUAAAAGGGAUUAAUUGUGAUUAAUCCUAAUAUUUAAAGAUAAAACUUCCGGAACAGGUAAAAGAACCGUUUACAUAAGCCUAUGAAGGUUUUGCAUUCAUACACGAUAGUACAACGUUGUACUCUUCCAGUCUCCUCAAUAGCAGCUACAGUACUACUGUUACUUGCCAACUAUGGCAACUCAUUCAUGCUCUCCAGCUAAGCCCUUUCUUUUCUCCAUUUUCUUCGUUAUCUUCCUCCAUCAUUUCCUUCACCACUGGGCCGUGGCGGCGGCCUACGCCACCGGAGUUAACUACGGCACUGUCGCUGACAACCUUCCUCCACCAGCCCAAGUUGCAUCCUUCAUCAAAGACCAAACCUCCAUCGACAAGAUCAAAAUCUUCGACGCCAACCCGGACAUUAUUCGAGCCUUUGCCAACUCCAACGUCUCCCUUACCAUCACCGUCGGAAACGGCGACGUCUUGGCGGUCUCCAAGCUCCCCGCCGCCCGGUCAUGGGUCUCCGCCAACGUCUUACCUUACUACCCACAGACAAAAAUCCACCGUAUCGCCGUCGGCAACGAAGUCAUCGCCACCGGCGACAGGAUUCUCAUAGCCCACCUCGUUCCCGCCAUGAAAUCCGUGCACGAAGCCCUGAGGCUGGCCGGAAUUUCCGAUAUCCAAGUCUCCACGCCGCAUUCCAUGGGUAUAAUGUCAAGGUCCGAGCCUCCUAGUUCGGGUCGGUUCAGGCGUGGGUAUGAUCGCGUCAUUUUUGCUCCGAUGCUGGAGUUUCAUCGCCGAACCGGGUCGCCUUUUAUGGUUUGCCCGUACCCGUUUUUCGGGUUCACCAGCUAGACUUUGGACUACGCUUUGUUUAAGCCAAACGACGGCGUUUUUGAUAACGUAACUGGCGUGAAUUACACUAACAUGUUCGAUGCCCAGAUGGACGCCGUUUUCUCUGCGAUGAAGAGGCUCGGGUAUGAUGACGUGGACAUCGUUGUCGCAGAAACGGGUUGGCCUUCUGCGGGUGACCCGAAUCAGCGGGGCGUGAGCUUGGACAAUGCCAUAUCUUAUAAUGCUAAUCUUGUCAGGCACGUGAAUUCGGGUUUGGGUACUCCUUUGAUGCCGAAUCGGACCUUUGAUACUUACAUUUUCUCGCUGUUCAAUGAAGAUCUCAAACCCGGCAUCUCGGAGCAGAAUUUCGGGUUGUUCCGACCCGAUUUCUCACCCGUCUACGACGUGGGUAUUCUGCGGAACCAACAGGUACUAAUUGUUGAAAAUUAUGUAGAAGUCCAAAUGGUCUUAAUGACGACUUAAUCAAAUCGAAAACUUUAGUAAUUCAAUUUUGAUUGUUUAUCGACCCAAAUUUAACGAGUAUUUUUUAAGUCGAAAACUUUAGUGUUUAAUUUCGAUUGUGUAUCGAGCCAAAUUCAACAAGUUUUUAUCAAAUCGAGCUUUAGGCGAAUUUGAAAACUACAAAUUUAGUCCAAUUUUUUUGCAAGUAAAUUUUAGGAUUUAUGCUUAUUGACCUAAAAGCCAGCUGAAUUUACAACUUUGGCAAAUACAAUAAUGGUCAAUUUACAAUUUCAUGUUUUCCUUUAUUAAGUGGAUGAAUUAAAAAUUCUAUGCGUUCUUAUGAGUUUAUUUCAGUAUCAAAUAAUUUGGUUUGAUUUUUGAUUCUAAAAUUUGUGACUUGUUGAAUUGCUGCUUUUUUUAAAAUUUUUUUUACGUUUGUUAUCAAUAUAUUUUUUAAUUUCAUAUAUAUAUAAUUAUUAUAAUAUAUUUUUUUAAAAUUUUCUAAAAAAUAGCAAUUCAAACGAGUUGAUCCGCAAUUGGCAAGUUUUUUAAAUUCUUUUCUUCUCCACGCGGGAAAAAAUCUGACAAUUUUGACUUUCUAAGACUUCUCCUCGUCCUGGCAAAUAUUCUCUGUUGCCAAAUGGAAGCAAAGAACUUACAUCACGACCGUUGAUCACAGGGCGUGGGGCCUGCACCAGUAACGCCAACAGCACCAGAUGAUAAAAAGUGGUGCGUCCCAAAAGAUGAUGCUAGCGAUGGGGCUCUGCAGUCCAACAUAGACUAUGUUUGUGGGUCCGGAGUGGAUUGUCAGCCCAUUCAAAACGGUGGGCCUUGUUUUGAGCCCAAUACUGUCAGGUCCCAUGCAGCCUACGCCAUGAACGCUUAUUAUCAAGCCCAUGGCCGGAAUGAUUAUAAUUGUGACUUCAUUGGUACAGGGGCCAUCACCACAACUAAUCCUAGUAAGUUUAUAAUACCACUAUAGAUUUUCUUGAUAUAAUUUAUUUAUUUAUUUAUCCUAUUCAGGGAAAGUUUUCAAUGAUAAUAUUUUAAUUGCAAUUGCGUAGUUAUUCUAGUAUCAUGGGAGAAUUAAAGGGUACAUUGUUGCAGGUUAUCAAGAAUGCACCUAUGUGGCUUAGGAGGAAGGAAGAGACAAUGGCACAAUGCCUCGGUCUUCUCUACUGCUGUUCCCAUGCUGGGCAGUUGUUAUAUAUAGCCAAUUCUUUAGGUAUUUUAUAAUUAUAGAGAAGGCUAUUUGUUAUAAUAUUUUGAGUAGGGAUUUGAACUUUUGAUCUGCUGGGCAGUUGGGUGGCACUAGGGAGGGGUGUAAUUGAGAGGUUUUGGGUACGGGGAUGGGAGCGUAAGGAUGGGUUGGGUGGCACUAGGGAGGGGUGUAGGUGAGAGAUUUUGGGUACGAGAAAGGGAGCGUAAGUGGGGGACCAAAGCCAAAUCGAGAACAAGAAUGUGAUAAUUUAUUUCUGCCUUGAAAAUAGAUCUAAGCAUGUAAUAUGUAUCUACAUGCGUGGGAAUAAAUGAAUAUCUUCAUUACCUAGGAGCUUCACUUGGAGUGAUGAUGAAUAAUUUCUUUGGAUAAGAGCAAAAGAGGACAUAAAUGUAGACCAAAUCCUCAAUUAGUCCCCUAACAAAGUGGUCAAUUGUUAUUUGUCAAAGCAAGAAUGUACAAGUUUAUCCUUUAACAAAUUGCCAUCUACUAAGGCAAUUUAUAAUGGUAAUACCUCGCAUCCUUCCUUGUAGUCAUCGUUAAAUACACAAAAUUUAUAAUCAAAAGAAAAUUCCGUAUUGGGAUUGAGAUUUCACAUCUUGAAAAAAAAAGAAGUAGAUGAUUCGAAUAUUACAAAUUUAAUAUGAAAUUCAUCUAGAGCCAAUAAUCUAUUUCUUUGGUUGAGAGAAAUCAAGAACAAGAAGCAGAGAAUUAAUAUAUAUUAAUAAAAAUAAAAACAAUCGAUCAAUCUAUGGUUAUAUGUACAGCUUACAACCAAUGGUAUCAAAAUUAGGUUACCAGCUUUGGUUAAAGAAUUUGAUUAUAUACAACUUACAAGUUUUUCCAAGAUAAGACUCCUAGCUACAAAGAACUUUUAAUAUUUAUCUCUAAUUAAGAAAAAACCCUAGUGAUUAAUCACGUAACAUAAACACUCUGGCGACAUAUUGGACAGGUUGCAUUAGUCUUUAACCAUUUAUAAAUGCAAACUGCAUGAAAUCCAUGCUUGCACCUUGGAAGAACCCUCCACAAGUAUGGCAAAUCAUCUCUGCAACCAGACAAACAGAUUCUGCAUUGAUCAUCAUCAGAUCCCUGGAAACUAUUAUCUCCUGAUUCAGAAACAUCCCUUUUCUUCUUGUUUAUUUUUCGUUUUUCUUUUCCUCCAAAGAUGUUAUCUUGAGCGCCAUCGGCUGCGACUUGGGUUGAGGCCCGGCAGAAGCAUUGGCAACGCAUCAAUAGAAUCUGUAUAUACUAUACUGGGGAAAGCUUUCGGCAGAACAAAUCGAGGGAUUGAAUUUUUUACGGUUCAUUGAAAUGUAAUGGACUCUAAGGAAGAGAGAGAUCGAAGGCAAAUCUGCCGAUCAGCUUCUCAGAAGGAGAUAUUGCAAGCAAAGAGAACGAAUUACCCAUGUUUCUUUUAUCUUUUUCUGUUAAGCAGGAAUAUUUAUCCUUGUUUCACUAAAUAUAUAAACCAAAACAAGUGCCCUAAUGCUUUUUGGUUUAGGGUUCUCUUCCAGGCUAAUCGGCCCAUGUUUGCUAAUACUAACUUGACUUGGGGAUAUUCAAUUAUCUAUAGGCCCACGAUCUCCGAGGAUUAAUGGAAUUUUAUUAAUUAUGAUUUUCUCUUGUAAUCUCAAGUUUUCAACUAAAUACGUAUUUUUAAUGAAGAAUUAGUGAAAAAUACAAAUAAAAAGUACGUAUAGGGAUUUAAGAAAAUUUUGCAAAGACUAAUUCUUUAUUUGAUAAUGUUCAACAAAUGUGUACGAUUACAAGUAUUUCCAAGAAUAUGGUAAUUUUUCACAAGUCGAUCCAACAUUUACUUUUUAAUGCUAAAAGAAAACCAUGAAUUAGUUAGCUAAAACGAGUUCUUAAUGCUUGGUCCUGAAUCCAAAUUAUUUAUGUCCACAAACUCUUGAUUUUGUGUAGCCAUAAUAGAAGCCAUGAACACGACUCAAGGGUUGGCUUACCAUUCCCUGUGCUUGUAAUUUGGUGCAUGAAACCAUACACUCGAAGAAAAGCAUAGAGAAAAUGGGUAACAUUCCCACGCAAAUUAUAAAAAGGCUUAGUGUGGCUUCUGGUCGUAAUUUAUAUGGGGAGAGAUGUAGAUCUAAAGGGGACAAAAAAUUUUGAGGAAGUAUGUUAUGUUUUUUAAUUGGUGAAAGACAAAAAAAAUAUUAUAGUAUACGAUGAUUUGACUUUGGAAGGAAAGAAUUUAUAGAAUUUAAAGUGUCUUCAGGAUGAUCCUAAUGCACUUAAGGUUUGGUUGGCAUCUGAGAAAUACAAUUACAGAAAAAUAUUUAGACAGAAAAAUAAGGUUUCCUCACAUAUAUUAAAUGGUUACAAUACAUUUUUUUACAAAAAAAAAAAUCUUAAAAAUAGCAGUACAAAUGGGAGAGUCGCACGAUAUAGCAGCGAGAUACUUUGUUUUUAAGGCAAUUAAAGGGACACAAUACGUCGAAGUGGAUACAAGCUCAAAUUUAAGCUUAAACUUCAAUAUUUACUGUAAGGGUGCAUUUGGACUGCUAUAAUGUUAUCUCCUCUCCGGAUUUUGAAUUUGAACGAGUUACUCAGAUGUAUAACUUUCUUAGAUGCUUCACUUUUUCAAGAUAAAAAAAUUUCAACAUUUUUCCAAUAAGCCAAUUUCAUAUGUUCGCUGAUUACGUGUGGUGUGUAUAAUGAAUAAAAUACCAGAGUGAUUGUUCUAUUACCCUGUACUUGAUCACUUGAUUGGAGUCUAAUUAUCUAAUCAUGGCUAGAGUUGGAUGAAUAAUUUUAUUUCUCAGGAGAAUAAAUGGUUCGAUGGUUGGAUCAUGGUUUUGCAAUAUCCAUUUAAAUCCUAUCCAUUUAGAUCCAUUUAUUAAAUGGUUAUAAUGGGAUUGGAUUAAUUUUAUCCAUUAUCUAUUUAAAUAAAACUAUUUAUCAAUCAUAUAUCCAUUUUGCCACUUCUAAAAUUUUAACUGUACUAGCAGUUUGUUACUCUUAGUAAAAUAAAAAAAAAUUAAAAAGUAAAAUGAGUGAUUAGAGAUAUCUAUGUUGUAUAUACCGUUUAAAUUGUUGAAAUUAUGUCAAAUCCUCUAAGAUAUUGGUCAAAUAUCAUCUUUUCAAUUGUUAAAAUUUGAUGAUUUCACUAAAAUUUUCACUAUUCAUUUGAGUUGAAAGAAGACAUAUUUAGACUCUCGUUGGGAGAUCAUAAGGAGAGGGUAAGCAUGCAAGAUAACAACCUGACUUGGAAUGAUAGAAAUAGAAUAAAUGAAUUCAUUUACCGUAAUAUCCUUCUAGAAAUCAAUGUUAUAAAUUUAGCCUUCAUUUUACUAAUAUUUAUAAAUUCUAUUUAUUGCUCCAAUACUGACAUCUACUUAUAUUUUUCUUGGCUAAUGACGUUGUUUUUAGGUAUAAAAACUUAAUGUUAGUGUAAUCACCUUAUGAGUAUUGAUAAAUUUGGUUGAAUAUGAUAAUAUCAAUAUUUAAUUUGUCAAACUUUGAAAUCUAAAUUAUAUAUAGAGCUUGAUAAAAAUUUUGUAAAAUAUUAUAUGCGUGCUUUCAAUGUAAAAAAAUAAAUGGGUAAAAGAAAAAGAAGAAAAAUACAAUAUCAUGAAUCUAACAACUAGCAUUUCGCAAAAAAAAAAAAAAAAAUUCCAGUACUUUUUGAAAGCAAAAUAGUAUAGUGGAAUAAAUAAAGGUUUAGAAAAGUUUAGUGACUAUUGAGUCACUUUGCACGAAAAACUUUUUGAAAGCUAAAAUAAAGAAUGGUUGGAAGAGAAUCUUCUUUAAAAAGAAAAUUUUAAAUACAAGUUAUCCUUGCAUUCCUAAGUGUUUAGGAAAAAUUAUUGAAGUACUUUAACAAGAAAAUAACUUGCAUCAUAAAAUAACAAAAGAAAAACUAAAAUCCUUUACAAAAAUGGUGUAUUAAUAUUGUAGCAACUUCUGAUUUAUUAAUAUUGUAGCGAAUCUACAGUAGAUAAACAGUAAUACAUAAAAAUUACUAGUACAACUUCACCAAUCAACAUAAAAAUGAUGAUGAAAAGGAACUAUGGUGGGCGAAGGAGAGAGAAAGGUUUCAUAAACGAGUUGACUUCUUUAUUUCUUGCAUGUGUAAUUUCUAAGGUAUGUUUUCACUUUAUUGCUCUUAUUUAUUCUACCUACUGUGGUUAUCAUCAUUUAUCUUGUGGUCUAAUUCAUCCCUGGUGGAUGGGUCUUGCUGGUUAGAUAAAAUAUCCUAGAUAAUGAUAGUUGCAUUCUAUUUCAAUUUAGUAUGAACCUUUAAAUGGUCUCUAGAGAAAUUUCAAGAAGGGUUAUUAUCACUUUACCCCCAUAAACUAUAUCACUACUAUCAGUUUACCCCCUAACGUUAUCUUUUAAUCACUUUACCCCCAUAAGUAAUUCAACUCAACAUAUUAAAAAAUUUUGAACAAAAAUACCCUUUUAUUUUAGAGCAUUGCUACAUUGUUAUUAUCAAUUUAUUCGUUUAGAUUAUAGUGAUACAAUCACUUUAGUUCCUAACAUUAUUUUCUAAGCAUUUUACCUCAUCGUUAAUCUAACUAGUAUGGUCAAAAAUUUUAAAUAUAUUUACCCUUUUAUAUAUAAUUACAAAUAAAAAGGUUGGAAUGGUUAUUCUUCUUUUUUUUUUUCACUUUAAGAGAUUGAAAAACAUAAAAAUAAAAGGAUUUUCUCAAAUUUCUUUUUUUCACACUUAUUAAUACUAGGAAAAGAAAAAGAGAUAGAAAAGAAAAGAAAGAAAAUUAGAUUUUGCAAAGAAAGAAAAUAAAGAAAAGUCUAACAUUAUCGUAUUACAUCAAGGUUGUCGGGAUUAGGAUUAGAAUUUAACAGAAAAGUGAAAUAAUUUUAAAAUAAUAAAAGUAUUUAAUUCUUUCUUAUUUGUAAUUUUUAAAAAAAGAAUUGAGCUCUCUCUCCCUCUUCCCUUCCCCCUCUCCAUCUUUCUAUUCUUUUUUGAUAUUAAUAAGAUUGCCAAGAAAAAAUAAAUUAAUAUUUUGACUUUUUAUCUUGACACUAAAAAGGAGAAGCGCCACUCUAAAUUUUUUAUUAUUAUUUUCUUCUGAAGUUUUUUAACUUGUUAAGUUGGUUUAAUGGUAGGAUAAAUUGGCUAAAAAAUAAUUCUAAGGGGUAAAUUGAUAAUGAGACUGUAGUUUAUGGGGUAAGGUGAUAAUAAAUUUAAGGGUUAAACAUGUCUUUUUACUUUAAUUAACAAACUCCAUUAAGUUUGACCGUUAGUUUUGGGGGUAAAGUGACUAAAAGAUAACGUUAAAGGGAAAAUUGAUAGUAGCACCAAACGUUAAGGGGGUAAAGUGAUAAUAACCCUUUCAAGAAAUAGAAUUUAUCUUCUAUUAAUAAUUAAAAGAUGACAAUUACCAUUUUAGUUUAGUUAAAACAAGAAAAUUAAUUGAUUUUACAAAAGUAUUUGCUUCAUUAUGUUUUAGAAUUUUAAAAUUGCUCAAUUUCACCUUAACUAAUUAAAACAAUCCAUUGGAUAUGUAUUUGAUUUUGUUUUAGAGUUUUAGCUUCCUAUAGCAAUCAAUACUCUAGUACCUUAAGAGCCUUUUUUUUUAUGUAGUAAAAGAAUGUUACCAUUGAGGAACUUAAUUAUUUUUAUGAAAAAAUUCCCUCCGUGACUCCAAACAAAGAAUUAUAAUUGAUAAAUUUCAACCUGACUAAUGUUAAUACUAUAUGAACUUAUAUCACUUACCAUAAUAAUUUUUUCUCUAAGUUUCAUUAUUAUGUCAAUUGAACGGCUUCUUUGAUCGCUCUUGGUUUACAUGUCAAGCUUCUAAUUUUAUGAAAUCUAAAUUAUCUUCCACUAACAAUAAUUUUAUAAUUUUACUAAGCUAAAUCGGUCUUCUAUGGAAUGAUUUACUAGGUAGGAACACUAGGUAAUAAGGUUACACAAUUUAAGAGUGCAAUCUUGGUCUUCUGUGUAAUUGGCUGGUAAGAUCUUCAUGUUAAUUGGCUAGUAAGUACCAAUUUAAUAGGUAAGAAUAGGAUCAUUAAGUAGAGAAAAUAAGGUCCUACCCUUUUUCCUCCUCUUUUCCCUUCCCAUAUUGUAAGGUUUGGGCUUCCCCUUGAACAAAGAAAAGUAAUUGAGUCUACCUACCGAAAAAAAACCCAUCAAAUUGCUCCAGAAAGACAUAAUCAAUUAACAAUCCAAUUGAGGGAGAGAUGGGUUGGGAUCGUCGGGUGGUACCGAGAAGAAAGCGUAAGUUCGAAACUUCUUACUUAUACUAAAAUAAUAAUAAUAAUAAUAAUAAAAUAACAAUCCAACCUAAAAAAAAAAAAUUAACAAUCCAACCUUGGACCUAUGUUAUACAUACGACUAAUACGAUGUCCAAAAUUGAACACUAGCCCUACAUACUGGACAGAUUCUGUUUCUUUCCAACCAUGCAUAAAGACAACCAGAAUGGAAACUAUGCUUACACCCUGAAAGACCACUCCACAUGCAUGGCAUCGGAUCAUCUCUCAACUGAGAAAGACAUAUUGCACAAAAAGAAUUUGUGAUGCUUCUAUUUGCAUCUAGGUCUUCUUCAUCAAAAUAGAACAUAUAAUCUGCUACUAAAUUCCUUCUAACGGGGUUCUGUUUUUGGGUUGCCUUCUCAGACCUGCGUUGCGAACGGCUCCGAGUUUGUCUAUCUGCUGCUUCAUGGUUGGAGCAGAAGUAAGAAACUGCAGCAUAUAAGCCGAUUGAUAUCCCCAGCAACAAGAAAAAACGGCUGUUAUCCAUGAGGUAGAAUAGACCAAAGGAGAUUUUAAACACAAUAGUCUUAUAUAAUAUAGGCCUUCUAUAAAUUUUCAAUGCUUGACUUAAUUCCAAUGGUAAUUAUGGAAUUGGCGUUGGGUGAAGGAAAUUUUACUGCAGUUUUCUAACUUAAUUUGGUGCAAGACUUGGUGAACAAGAAAUAAUUAAAAUAAAAACCCAUUGAAAAACUCGCGAAAACGUGGUGAAUAUGAAAAAAUUAGAAGAGUCAACUAGCAAAAGAACUACCUAAUUCCUAUAUUGUUAAAUUACACAAAAGUUUACCCUAACAGAACUCCAAAAUAUUUUGUACUUGUGGGAUCUUGAUAUCAAUGAUAUUCUAAACUCUGAAAGAAAAUUGGAAUAAAAUUCCAAAAAAAUUAAAUUGGAAAGAAAUUUCUACACUUGGUUUAAUAGAAGUGCAUCUGUAUUUCUACACGUGCAUAAAACAUAUACAAGUUGAGCAAGAGUAAAUAGUUUUAAAUUUUUAUUUUUAUUUUAUUUUUGAUAGUACUAAACUUUUUUUUAUUAAUAUGUUUGAAUUAACUUAGGCAGAGGUCAAGGCCAUCACAUGUAUUAGCACAAGGACUUAUAAUUCUUGUUUUAUAAAGCAAAUAAGGUACAAGUUGGUUGCAACUAAUAAUACCAAUUACAAUACUAAUACACAAAGAGUACAACUCUACAAAAACUUUUAGGGAUCUUCUCUAAAACACUAGAAGAAUAAAGACAUAACAUUCAAAAUUCAUCACAAUUCUAAUCCAAAGAAAUCCUUAAUUAUUGAAUAAUUUUCCGACAAAGAGGACAGGUUCUACUAAUCUUCAACCAAUGACGAAUACAAUCCGAAUGAAACCUAUGCUGCAACCUGCGACAACAAUCCACAUGCGCAGGGCACAAUCAUCUUUGGUUCCCGACAACAAAUUACUGACAGGUGUCAAACUUGUAUAAUAAUAAUUACCUACUCAAUUAAAAUACAAAUUUUGUAUAUAGCGAUGCGCAGGGUCGAAUCUAUAGGGAUUGGAAAAAAUUUGUUUCUUCUAGAGUCCGAAAUAAGGGGGGUUUUUACAAAAAUGUGAAUAAUUAAACAAAUCAAAUAAAAAGGCCUAAUUGAUAAUUUAACUAAAAAUGAAACAAUAAUAAAUAAACUCUAGCUAAGAAAUAACUUUGGAAAUGAUUCACUCAAUUGAUCAUAGAUACAAUAAUAAUUUCAUUCACUCACUGAUAAACAAGUUAUAACUGCCAAAUAUACGAUGACAAUCAACUUCUCCUUAUUGUUUCAGUGAUCAAAGUACGACCGUUAAUCACUUCAGACCCUUGAUAUUCACAUAAAAUAACAACCAUAAGAAAUUAAAUUAGAGAACAUACCGAAAAAUUAAAAGAAUAAAUAAAACUAAUCUGAUCUCAUAAUUUCAGAUGAACCAAAUCCUUCAUUGUUCCUUGACUAGAAUGGCAAGCUUAAUUCGUCGUCAUGGAAAAAGCUACGUGCAAAAUAUUGAAAUUUAUUGCUGCGGCCAUUCUCUAAUUGAGAUGAAUUCCCCAAGAAAAGAAAAACGAAUUCCGUUCUCUUGUUUCUUCCUAAGAAGAAACGAGACCUCACUACUGACUAGUCUUCCCUUGUAGAAAAGAAAGGAUAAAGAAACGAUAGUCUCCUAGUCUUGGUUCCUAAUACUAAUCAACUACUACUACUUAGCGGAAUCAAAUUGUAACAAAUCAAAUCUUAUUCCAACAAAAACGAAACGCCUUAGUAGACAAAAUAGACUAGCAUCCUAGUAGGAAUAAAACACUAUCCAUUUGGUGACACAUCCGACCCUUGUGACUUGAAUUCGAAUUUUGGAGAUCACGUGCCAAAUUUCGAGCUCCCCAGACGUGCAGAAUUAGAUUUUGAUAUGUCCACGCCAAAUUACACAAAAAUUAAUUAAAAUUCAUAUUUUUAACUCUUUUUCGCUCCGAAUCCCUACAAUCAAUACAAUUAUCAAGUAUAAGUAAAAUCUACUAAUUAAUGCAAUAUUUGGUAAAAUAAAAGGAAAACAAUCAUGAAUUUUAUGGCAAAAAUGCAACCUAUCAAUUACACAUUCCCAACUGUUGGAGUCAUUGUCAUCUUUGGAUUUUGGAGGAGGGGUUUCGCUUUCGACAAUAUCCAUGUUCAUGGCCGUAUCCCAACCGGAGGCCUGAUGUUGCUGCGGCGGAGUUCUCCGGAUGCGAUCGUAUAACUGACGUAACAACAUGAAACUAUGAAAGCGGACGCCACUAAGGUGAGCCUGGGAAAAAUAAAUAUGUCCUCUAAAAGAGCAAAGAGGCCUAUCCUUAGUGGCGCCCGCUUUCAUGUGCUCGGAUGCAUGCCUAAGAUGUGUUAAUUUAAUAUUUGUCGGUAAAUCUUCAUAAUCAAGGAACAAGUACAUAAUUUUUCUUUUUUUUGGAAUUGGUAUAGAAGGGCGUAAAAGUGAUAACCACAAAGGAUUUUCCUUUUGCUUUUGAAGAUAAAUGCAAUUGAAAUUGUAGAGGUUACAUCACUAUAUGAUAUUUGCCAUUGAUUAUGUCACAUUCAAAAGAGUUAAUUUCAAUCUGAAUGCUAGUUUUAAAAUCAUGACCUAUUAUCUUUUUGUUGAUUUGCGAGCUCCUUGUGACGGUAAACACGUACACUGAUUUUUUCACGACCACAUAAUUGUGAUAAAAUGUAUAUCGAUUGAUGCGUGUUUAAAAUGUGUGUAAAUGUGGACAAAAAAACUUUUUGCCUGUGAUUUUUUUUUUUUCGAUUUGGUUUAAUGCAUUCGCAAAAAUUCAAGAAGAAGGUCAACAUAUUCCUUGCCUUUGUGAGAAAAAAAAAGGGAUAUUCCUUGUCUUAUCCUUCAUUUUCCUUUUAAUCAAUGUACAGUACUCAAAUAUUCAACUUAUAUGCCGCAGCAGUCUGGUCUAAUUACUAAAAUCGAGAUCCAAAAAAUUGAAAGUUCUAAAUUCAAAUCCCCCAUUCCUCUCUUCAUCUCUUAAAUUUUCCCCCUUCCUCUUGCUUAUUUAUAUGAGUGAAUAUCUAUGAUUAUAAUUUUACUAUAAAUUACCUUUUUGGGUUAAAUUACUUAUAACCUCCCGUGAUUUUAUAUAACGCCAAAUGACCCCUCUAAGGUUUAAAAUAGCCACAUAACUUCCUAUGACUUUAUGUAAAGUGAAAAAUGAACGAAGUGCAUAACCAAUUUCGGCAUUUAUACCAAACGUGCUCUAAAAUCUUGUGUGAUAAAAGUUUAAUCUCAAUGUAACCCCUUUAUGAUUUGUAUAAAUAUCUACUUUAUCCUUUAUGAUAUUUACAUUUAUCCACGUAGUCCCCCCAUACUUUUAUACAAAGUAGUUAACUCGUCAGUUGACUUAGCAUUUAAGUAAGUGCAUUAUUGAUAUUCAAAUUAACAACAUUCCACAGGAUAUCUUUCAUCAAGUCUCCAUUUACAUAAAACUAUAGGGGUGAAGUAGACAUUUUAAAACAUGAAACGUUAUAAGGGUUAUAUGACAAUAGAUGAAAUCACAUGAGGGUUAUAUGUAAUUUACCCUUUUUUAUCACUUUAUGAACUUUUAUGUAUGAGCAUUUUUUUUUUAUGAAAAUGAAAAAAUCACUUUAUUUGGAACAUUAAAUGAAUGAUGGAAUUUUGACUUGUUUCAAAUAGACGAUUACAUUCACCGCAAUGAUUGCCAUCCAUAACAAUAAGGGAUUAUAAAACCACAAAAAUCAUAAGCGCAUCCAACCAAUCCUUGGAACUAAUUGUUUAAUUCAAAAAAAAAAAAAACGACGAGGAAAAGAUAUAUAUUAAGAGAACAAAUAAAGUUUCAAACUUGGCAAAAGUUAAAUCUUUUCCUAAAUUGCAGACAUAAUAAUCAAUAAUUGAACAGCCGACCCUAUGAAUAAUCGUCAACCAAUUAUGAAUACAAUCUGAAUGAAAUCUGUGCUUGCAACCAGCGACAAAGAACUACCCACAAGCCUGGCACAGGACCAUCUUUUGUUCCACAACAAAUUGCACAUUCCCAAUUUUUUGGAGCCAUUUUAUUAUCUUUUCGUGGAUGCUGCAUUUCGCUUUCGAGAAUAUUGAUGUCUAUGAACGUAUCCCUAUCGGAGGACUGCUCCUUUCCACUACGCCGACGAGGAGUAGAAGGUUCUUCUUGCAGGCACAACCAGCUGCAACGUGUUCAAACUAUCAUUAAGAGCAGAAAAGCAGACAUGAUUCCUAUGUCCAUGGAAAAUGAGACUGAAGCCAUAAAUUCUUAAGAGAUAUGGGAGACGGCGACAAGUAACUGCCGUAGCCACUGUUCUUCGUCACAAUACAUACGUAGAAAAAAAGUGGGUAUGUAUAGAAUAAAAGAAAGUGCUAUUACGAGAAGUUGAUAAAAGAGAUAGAACAAAUCCUGAAUUCCGAGUAAGAAUUCCAGUAAACAAGUGAUCUUGAAAAUUUCUUCCCGAAAUUCCAACAAUAAGGCUAGAUUUUAAUAGGAAACUUUAGAUUCUCCCUUGCAUAUAUGAGCUAAAUAACAAAAAACAUUUGGAAGUUGGAACAUGAUUUAAAAAUGUAAAUGUAAAUUCAUGGUUCAAACAAUGUUUUAAAACUGGAUCAGAUCAGACAGUUGGAACAUGAACCAGCCGUGAUAUAGGUCUGAUUCUAUAUUUAACUUAGAAAAAUUAUGAAUCAGUCAAACCUUAUUAAAAACCAAAUGAACAGAUCAAACCUGCUAACAAAUAUAUAUAUAUGUUAAUUUUAACCAAGUCAUUUAAUAUUAAAUAAUUAGAACAUGUAAAAUUAUUGAAUCGGAUUUUGAAUCAAUCAAAUCGGUUGAAAUAUAAACCAAAAGGUCAUCCAAUGCAUUUGUCAAUCCGGAUUUCAAAACAUUGGGUUCAAAGACGAUAGGAGUCUACUACCAUACUCGUCCAAGAACAACACGUACAAGCAAGGGUGAAGCUACAUGCUCCUAAGGUGGGCAAUGCCCCCUUCCCCUAAAUUUUUCAGAAACCCCAAUUUACACCCUCUCAAACCACAGGAAUUAUAUAUAGCACCCCUUUAAACAACGAAUCAUGGUUUACUUACUAAAGCUUAAAUUAACCAAUACCCAAUGUUUGAAAAACUAGUGAAGAAAAACAAAAAAAGCAAGAGAAUAAGAGAUGCAUAAAAAUUUAGAAAAUCCCACAUUAGACUUUUAAUAACAUGGAAUACUUAUCCCCAAAUGCAGUCAAUGUAUCUAAGGAAGAAACAAGGUAGUUAAGCAAAGGGAAAAUCGUUCAAAACGUCCCUCACAUUUUACAAAAUGACUUUUUUCAUCAAUCACUUUUAAAAGUAUAUUUUAUAUCCCUUACAAAUUUAUAUUGACCAAAUUUGGUCCCUACCUAGGUUUUCGACUAGUUUUUGGCCGGAAUCCACCACGUGACUUGCAUGUGAUCAUUUUUUAAGGGUAAAUUGUCAAAUCAAAUUUUUACAUAAUCUGAUUCAUAGUCCCUCACAUUUCACAAAAUGAAUUUUUUCGUCCCUAACAUUUUACAAAAUGAAUUGUUUUGUUUCUCACAUUUCAAAAAAUAAAUUUUUUCAUCCGUCACAUUUUUCAAAAUGAAUUUGUUCAUCCCUCAUUGAUCAUGUGUACGAAUAAUUUUUUUUUUCUAUAAACCCACGUAUAUGUCUAUUUGAUUUUACCUGAACAGUAUGAAUAACAUGUAAUUUAUCUCUAUUAAAUUUCAUCUAAACAUGCUAAUCGUAGUUAUACACAUGCUAUUCAAUAAAUAUAUAUGUAUAUAUAUAGAGGUUUAAAACUAAUAUUUUGUUUGAAACCCAUAUAUAUAUUUAUAUGAUUUCACCAUUUGAACCUAUUCAAUAUUUGUGACCUUUCUUUUUUGGUGAUAAUUUAUUUAUUGAGUUGUAUAAUAAGGUCAUCUAAUUAAUGGGUACUAAUUCAAAUUCUAUAAUUGUGCUAACAAAUUUCAGUUUAAAUCUGAAAUUUCUACUUGACACUUUCAAGACUAACAGUUGAAUUACUUGCCUUGUGAUUGUUUUAAAAUUUGAAAGUGUCAAUCACUUUUUUCUUUUUAUCAUACUUUUCUUUUGUUUACUUUUUCUAUCCAAAUUUAAUUCGAUAUAAGCACUUGAUAAUAUUUAGGAUUAAAUGUCUUCUUUAUUUUCAAAUUUCGGGUAAAAGAAAAUGAAUAUAAGUGAAAAACUAACAAUUUUUUUAAACCUAUAUAUAUAUUUAUUUAAUUUCACUUGAAUAGUACGAAUAGUAUGUAAUAUAUUUCUAUUUGAUUUCACAUGAUAUUCGUACUGUUCAGGUGAAAUCAAAUAGAUAUAUACAUGGAUUUAAAAAAAAUUAUUCACACACAUGAUCAAUAAAAGAUGAAAAAAUUCAUUUUGAAAAAUGUGAAGGAUGAAAAAAUUCAUUUUGUGAAAUGUAAGGGACGGAAAAAUUUAUUUUAUGAAAUGUGAGGGAUUAUGAAUUGAAUUAUAUAAAAUUUGAUUUGACAAUUUUGCCCUUAAAAUAUGAUCACGUGCAAGGCACGUGGUAAAUUCCGAUAAAAAACUAGUCGGAAACCUAAGUAGGGAUCAAAUUUGAUCAAUGUGAAUUUGUAAGGGACGUAAAAUUACAUUUUUAAAAGUGAGUGAUGAAAAAAGUUAUUUUAUAAAAUGUGAGGGAUCUUUCGAACGAUUUUCCCUUAAAGAAAAUAAUAAAAAUGAAUAGUGAGAAACUACUUGCAAAAUGGAAAAUAGAUUAAUUACUCUAUUAGAAUGUGCAUUGAAUACAUUUCUUUUUUCUUUUUUUUGCUAGGGGCAUACAUAUAAAUAACAAGAGCUAUGCAAUAGUUGUUCAUCUCAUUGCACAUGUGCAAUUAAAUCCAAUAAAGCACGACCAGGUAAUUUCAUUUUAAUUAACGUGGAUUGAGGGCUCAAGAAGUCUAUUUUUUCAGACUUGUCAAAUAACACACAACCAUGAUUACCUCUCCAUUUUGUUUGGUUAGCUGAUUAUUUUGGUAGAUACUUUUGGUUGCAUCAUAAUUAUAUUUUUCAAUCACCAUCCAUCUUGUCAACUACAUUUUUUUUUAUCUUAUAUACAUUAUAUUGUAAAUGGAACUACUAAAAUAUCAUUCUAAAAAAUUAAAUAUUCUUCCGUCCAACUAUUUCUUAUAUACAUACAUACAUACAAAUAUAUAUAUGGUAAUAAUUAGGGAUAAUUUUAGAAACCUCCCCUGAGGUUUCUGACAGUCUCACUCACCUCCCCUAAACUUUGCAAAAUAUCAUAUACCUCCCCUGAACUUAUAGUUGGAGUAACAAGAUCAGCCCAUGUCAGAAAAAUGAGCAUUAAAAAAAAUAUUUUGAGGAGUGAGAUGAUAUUUGUGUUCCACAUAUGCCCUUUUUUCUUAUCCACAACUUGAGCUAAAGCAAAAGCAAAAAAAAGAAGUAAUAAGUUGAACCAGAUAGAAACAAAUGCAGAUGGCUUCUUCAAACAAUGUUACAAUGCUAUUUAUAUUUUUUUGUUUUAGCUAUUAGACAUUUAUUUAGAUAAUAUGAUCAUUCAAUUAAUUGAAACAUACUUCUGGUGAUAUAAAAAAAAUGUAUAGUUUUAUAAUUUGAGUGAUUAAAAGUAUAAAUUUUUAUUAGUUAAGUCAUAAAAAAUAUUAUUUGAGUGAUAAAAGUAUAAAUUUUUACUAGUUAAGUCACAAAAAAAAUUUCACUAUUUGGUUAAUUGAGUGAAUGGCAAUUGCAGUUAAAUAAAUAGUGUAACAAUCAAAUAACCAAAUUCUCAAUAGUUUAAUAACUCUUUUUGCGAUUUUCUCUGUGGAAAAUGAAAUGAAGUAGCAAGAUACUUCAUUUCAUUUAGUGCUAGAUACUUUACUUGAGAUUUUUAAAAAAAAAAAAAAUUAAUUCACACUGUAGUUAGUCGAAUUUAUUCAACAAGCUUCGUUUGAAUACCAGAACUUAGGUAGAUCCGAUUUUCAAGAAAUUCAAUAACCCAAAUUGUGUCGCAUCACUUUAUGAGAUGAUGUAAUAUACAAUUUACGUCAUUGAAUUUUUUAAAACCAAAUUUACCCAAAUAUAAGUAAUGAGUUACACUAGAUAAUUGUCUUACAAAAAAAAACAUGAAAUACAUGACUUUAGAGAAAGGUAACACUAGUGCUAAACUCUUCAUUGGUGAUUGUACUACGAAGAAAAAAUGUAAAGUGGAAUAGAAGGUAUAUCAUAAGUUAUAUCUCUAUUACUUAUUUAACUAAUUCUGUCAAAAUAGCUUCAAAAUAUAUCAUAAGUUAUGAGGGUAUAUCUGUCAAUUCAUCAUCAAUGAUAUCACAAAUAGGGCCCAAUAAUCUGACAAGGGAGGUAUCUGAUAUUUUGCAAAGUUCAAGAGAGGUGAGUGAGACUGUCAGAAACCUCAGGGGAGGUUUCUGAAAUUAUCCCUAAUAAUUAAUGAUUUAAAAUCUACAACUUAAUCAAACUUCUAACUUUUCCAGAAUUUGUCAUAUUUAUAACACGUGGCAAUUCUAGUCUUUUCGAGUUACACCUGUAUCCUCUCUAUUGUCGGCCUUUCUUACUAUAUUGGACACUUUUCAAAUGGAUAAGCGGUGGACCGCCUGAGAACAAGACGGCCAUCAAUUUGAUGUUAUGUUUAUCUUAGCCGUUGGCAGGUGUGGUGGAAGGAAUGAUUAGAUGCUGAUCCCAGUUAGUACUAUAUUAGAGUUCGUUAACAGUUUUAAGACAAUAUCUUGUGACAAGAAAUGACCUCAUGAGCGCGUCACUAGAUCAUUGGUACAACCAGAUUUUCUUAAUAUAGAAACUUUAACUCAUUUGAUUACUUCAAAUCCUCAAGCCUAAUAGUUUCUUAGAAAGUUAAUAGUAGUAUUAAUUAAUUAAAGUGUGUAAAUGCAAUAGAGGAUAAUAAUUGUUAGGAUUUGUCUAAAUGGGCAUGCGUCAAGAUAUAUUUCAAGUGCGUUAUUUUUUAAAAUGUAAGAUUGAUAUAGAAAUAUAAAUAAAUACAAGGAAUGGUAGGUAAGAUUAAAUAGGAAAAGUAUAUAAAUAUAAGUGAAGUUAACAAUUAAUGGUACGUGUAUAUACACGAUAAGUUAAGUGAAUUUUAGAUAUAUUAAUAAGCGACCAAUUGACACCUGGUAGAAAAACCCUAAUUGUUAAUGUGUAUAUAUACAUGAUAGAUUGGAUGAAAAUUAGGUAUGCUAACGAGUAUCCAUCGAGCACGUGCUAGAGAAAUCCUAAAUUAAAAUAGGUCAAAUGAAGUUUAAAGUCAUGUUAACUUUUAUAUUGAGCAACUACAUACUAGCAGCAAUAUAUUUGGAUUGGCCAUAAUUACACGUGAAAAGAAAAUUUAUUUACUUGCAUCAUAAAUACAUAUAUUAAUAAUAUUUUUAUCUCACUUAUAUCACAUCAAAAAAAUAUAUUAUAGAAAUUAUUUCAAAUUAUUUUCCAAAUAAUCUUCUAAAUUUUCUCAAAAUUUUGCACUACGUUAAGGUCCUAAUAAUAGGAUAAUAGCAGAGAUGAUUAUAGCUGUCAAGCGUGAAGAGAGAGCAACAAUAACUUAAUGAUCGGAGGUCUAUUGAAACCAUUGUAAUAUAAUUAGUCUGCCUUGUUUUUGCCAUGAUAUAAACAUUCUUCCCCCGAGAAACCUGCUAACUUGCCGGUUUACCAAAUUUUCUUUUAAACAAGGAAGGGUAAACACGACAAAUAUAGAUAGUUCCUUAUGCAUUUUAUAGCAUAAUCAAGAGUUAUUUCUCUUUUUGAAGAGGACGAUUACAUAUACAAUCAAUCAUCACAAAGCAUGAACAAGAAUGCUAGUCCGGCACAAUGGACAAGUUCUGCUCUUCUUCAACCAUUUCUGAAUGCAUUCAGCAUGAAAAGUAUGAUUACAAGCAGUAAGCUCCCAGCAAGUUUCCCCAUCUUCAAUCUCACAUAUGCAGAUUGUGCAGCUGCUCAAGCUUCCAUCCCUUCCUUUUCCUCCAGAAACGACUUUAUCUACCACUACUUCAACUCUUGAUGAUGAAGUUUGCAGAACUUCUUCUCGAAAUCCACCGCUGGUAGCAGGUUGCGCGGCCCCGGCUAUUGUAGAUUGCCUUUGAAUACGGAUUCUGUUGCAAAAAUAGGUCUUACAUUUUAUGAAAACAGCAGAUAAAACGAAUGCUAGAAGCCCAGCUCCAAAAUAAAAGAAUACUUGAACUUCGUUCAUGUUUUUUUUUUUUUUUUUCAGAAAGAAGGGACAGUUUGCUACAUGAUUCUAGCAAGAGUUUGUUUGUUUGGUGCUGUGGGCUACAAGAAUUAUUGAAGUAUUUGAUAUAAUAAGAGUGGAUUUGAAGCUGAAACUCUGAAUCCUCCAAACAUGUCCUUGAGCACCGAAUGAUUCUUCCUUGUAGGGGAGCAAGAAUAGGUAAAGAACGAAGACACAAAAGUCAAGCAGUUUGGAUACUGUGGUAUAAUUUAAUUUCUUUGGACAAUGUCCCUAUCGAAAUGUAGCUUCGAUGUUGUGCCAGCAAACUAGCAUUGGUGUUCCCAGGACACGAGGCCAGGGUCCAUAAAAGGAAUAUUUGGGUCACGUAGAUUGGAAAUUCAGGUUGCGUCUCUAGUCAUCUCAUUUAACAAUUAUGCAUUUCUUGAUGAGAUUUUUAGCACUCGAGAAAACAGAGCAAAAUAACAAAGGGCUGAUGACUUCACAAGAACAAGCAACAAAGUUGGUCGCCAAGUUUCAGCAAGUAAAUGAUAAUAAUCUUUCAAUACUGAAAAUUGAUCUUCUCUAAUCCAAAAUACAGGGUAGCCUCUAACAACUAUCUACCUAAGCAAGAAUCAUCAUGCUGAAGUUUCAGACAAGAAGAAAUACUUGCAACUAUAUAGCAACAGAAUCGUGGUUUCUUCUUCAAUUCAGUAAUUCCAGGACGUUGACAUCUUCAAACAGGGA
RNAcentral lists this long non-coding RNA (84688 nucleotides) under Coffea arabica (coffee). RNAcentral describes it as "long non-coding RNA (CARA_LNC000704)". The record is from RNAcentral. Lineage: Eukaryota; Viridiplantae; Streptophyta; Magnoliopsida; Gentianales; Rubiaceae.